UCAUACUACGCUUGAAAAGAUGCCGCAAGGAAUGGAAUGCCUAACCAACCUAGGGUAUCUUAGAAUGAAUGGAUGUGGUGAAAAGGAGUUUCCUAGUGGGAUAUUACCAAAACUCUCUCACCUGCAAGUCUUUGUACUAGACGAAUAUUAUCGUCCGAUAACAGUUAAAGUAAAGGAAGUUGUAUCCUUGAGAAAUUUGGAAACUUUGGAAUGCCAUUUCGAAGGUCUCUCUGACUUCGUGGAGUAUCUCGGAUCUCGGGAUAAGACCCAAUCAUUAAGCACAUACAGAAUUUUAGUAGGAAUGGUGGAUGAAGAUUUUUGGCAAUACAGUGAUUAUUCUCCAAGUAAAACAGUUGGGUUGGGUAAUUUGAGUAUCAACAGAGAUAGAGAUUUUCAAGUCAAGUUCUUAAAUGACAUUCAAGAACUGGUUUGUGAAAGCAUCGAUGCAAGAAGUUUAUGUGAUGUUCUGUCAUUAGAGAAUGCACCUGAAUUGGUGGUUAUCCAAAUUUACGAUUGCGAUAGCAUGGAGAGCUUGGUUUCAUCUUCUUGGUUCUGCUCUGCUCCACCACCAUUGCCAUCAUAUUAUGGUAUGUUUUCUGGUCUUAAAGAGUUUUAUUGUAGUGGAUGUAAGAGUAUGAAGAAGCUGUUCCCGCUUGUGCUGCUGCCAAACCUCGUAAACCUGGAAAGGAUUGAAGUGAUGCUCUGUAAGAAAAUGGAGGAGAUAAUAGGAACAACAGAUGAAGAAAGCACCACCUCCAAUUCCAUCACGGGAUUCAUUCUCCCAAAGUUAAGAACUCUGAGACUGAGAUAUUUACCAGAACUUAAAAGCAUUUGUAGUGCAAAACUGAUUUGCAAUUCUCUUGAAGAUAUUACUGUAACGUUUUCUAAGAAGCUGAAGAGGAUGCCAAUUUGUCUUCCGUUGCUUGAAAAUGACAAGCCAUCUCCUCCCCUUUCUCUAAGAAUAAUGUAUAUAGAACCAAAAGAAUGGUGGGAGACAGUAGUGGAGUGGGAGCAUCCUAACGCAAAGGAUGUCCUUCGUCCCUUUGUAAAGUUUGGGUUAGUUUGAGGAGCCAUCUCAUCCUUUCGUUAAUCCUUUCGUUGUAAGAAUACUAAUUGAUUGUAACCUUAAAUUUGCUCGUAUUCAAUAAUAUUCAAUUCUUUCAAUCAUUUUUGAUAUGAUUGAUGAAAAUAGUCCUUUAAAUCAACAAGGAUAUUCUUAUUAGUUAAUAUUGAAAUAAUCCUUCGUCCCUUUGUACCUUUCUUUUAACUCGAUAGAUAAAUAAUUAUAAUUUGAAGUUUGAUUAAUAUUAUAUUUUCAUCCUAUUGAGUUUCUCCAAGAUGAAAAUCCAAAAAAUAAUAAAAUACUAUAUUGAUUUAUCAUUAAAGUAACCUAAUAAAAUAAUAGAUAUAUUCACUAUUAUAAAUCAUCUCAUAUCAUUAACUAGCAAUAAAUUAUUUAAAAAUAUAUAUAAUACAGAUUAAAAAUAAAAAUAAAAAAGAGAGAACACAUUCUUGAAUUUUCGUCAAUCCAAACAAACAUCGUAAACAUGUCAAAAGUAAUCUUCUACCUCAGUGAAUUUCAGUACAACUACUGCACACAAGAUGUACGUAGCACUCUUCCCCUUUCCAACCUUGCUUAAUUCAUCAAAAGCUAAUUCCUGUCUAUCAACUCGAUUUGGAAAAAUAACUGAAAAACUCUGUUCAAUGAGUUCUAUGAAGUAGUAGAACGUGUAUGCACUAAGGAGAUCAAAUGAGGAAGGCUAAGAUUCUCUAUUAAAUGCCUCUGAGAGAGCAUGAACUGAACUGAACAUUUAUUUUUUGGAUGAGUUUUGGUUUCUAAACCUGAAACUGCCAUCAUAAGCACUAGCCAGGGAAGUUAGGAUGAGCUUUUCUUGUCAUUAUAUCAUAUUUUUCUGCCAGGAUAAUGCUCUCUAUAUUCUCUGCUACUAUUGCUUAUAAUCUUGUUGCCUGUGGUAUCUUUUCCAACUUGUUUGAGGAAUGCUUUCUAAUUCUGUUUCUUGGAUUGUAAAUUUGUUGUCCACCUGCACAGUUAAACAGAGUUAACCUAGUAAUCCAGAAGUUAUUGGUGACAGAUGAUCUGGAUCCUUUUCGAGAAAAAGUGAGUUCAACUUUUACAUUUUUUUUACAUUAUUUUGUUGCUCUAAAUCAAGAAGUUUACUAGACUUAUUACUCUGUAAAUUUGCUUUCUGAGUGCUGAGCAUUUUAUACGACCAUGUGAUUGGGGAGAUUUGAUUCUCAUAUAAUUAUUGUCAGCUUAUUUGUGAGCCAAUAAGUAUUAUUGAAUAGAAAUGCUUUCAUUCUUUACCGUUAGUUUGAAAGUGAAUUGAACAUUUAUUAGCUGAGUUUUUUUCAUUUUCAAGAGGCCGUUUGUUUGUGUGCUUGCUUUUGCGUUUGAAGCAGCCACAACAAAACAAAUGUUUAGUUAUGUAAAAAAAACAAUUUAUUUUUGGUGGGCCCUAUGACAAUGCACGUUUGCAACACGAUUUUGGCGAAGUAGCUCCUGACUGCUUUUCUUCACUCCGUGUUUCAGUGAAUUGCACUGUUCACUUAAAACAAUGAACAGUUCAAUUCACUUGCACUAUUCAUGUGAACAUUUUUUUUUCAGUAUAUUUAUUUUUUGUACAUUAAAAAAAAACUAGUUUAGAGUGAAUUAAAUUCACUCGCACUGUCAUGUGAACAAUAUAUUUUUUUUCAAAAAAGUAGUGUAGAGUGAAUUAAAUUCACUCACACUGUAAUAUCAAAUUAAUUUUAUUCCUGAUAAUAUUUUAUCUAAUUUUAUUGCACGCUCAAAAAAUUAUGAAAACUGUAGUUCUAGUCGGAUGAAUUUUGUACGUAAUGGAAUUGUAGAUGGUUUAAUGGAAUAAUAAAAAAUAUUUUAUAUAAAGUAUUAUUUAUUUCAUGAUAUAAUAGCAAUAGUUAAAUCUACAAUAUUUAAAUUAAAAACCAUCAAUAUUAAUAUAUAUUUUUUAAAAUUAUUUUAUAACCUUAAUUUCAAAAGCAUUGUUAACCAAACACGUUAAACUACUUUUUGUUUAACCUCAAUUUCAACCACAGUUUUAACCAAACACCUAUUUUUUCAAACCAACCUCAACUAAAAGUACUUUUUAUAAAAUAAUUUUUUUCAAACCACAAUCACAACAGCUACCGCAUUACCAAACACACUCUUAAUUUACGAAGCAUUUCAUUAUUCUUUUUCUGACUUUAUUAAAUUUUUUCAAGAUAAUUUAUCAGAUAAUUUUAGCCGGAGUCCUUACAUAUGUAUGCAGGUUAGAAUUCAUUCCCAUCAAUAAGAUGGAGUAGUAUGAACAAUUUUUAUUUUUUUUGGUUUCUACUUACGAUUUUUUUCAUGAUUAAUACCGAUUUAUUUUCACUUUCUAGUAUACCAUUGUUAUUAGUUUGUGGUGUGGCAUAUAAUUUUUUUAGAUCAGUGUUACUUCAAUGGUGGUGGCGUUUAAGUAUACCUUCUGCCAUAAUAUUUAAUAGCAAUUUCUAUGAUAAUCUCAGAAUCUCCAAGCUAGCUUUUGCACCCUUCUCAUUUUGAUAAUACCUAGCUUUUAAGAUUUUUAUUUUAUUUUUGACAUCAAAAGGAUCCUAAAUUCAAAAUGGUUGUGAGCAUUUUACCAAUCUGUUGGGGGUGAUAUUGGUGGGCUUGGGCUAGGAGAAGGGUUAUUUUUACUCUUGGGCUAUUGGCGAGGCUUGAGACUGCUACCUUUUCUUUUCGUUCCCGCGCUGCCCCUCCCUCUCCAAAAAGUCGCUCAAAAUACAGAUUACGAAAUCUCAGAUAUUGCUUGGAAUUGAAUGCAUGAGUUGAAACCGUCGGAGAACACCAGGAUAAGCUCCAAACACAUCGCCACCGGCAUGCUCUCCAGCAUAAUUCACGUUCCCUUUUCAACCAUCGAACACCCCACAGCCUCCUCCUCCUGUUCUUGUCGAGAAAGUAUAUGGAGCCUUAACAAAUAAAGGUUCUCUCUGUUGAUAAUUGGGUUUGGGUCUCAAGUGUUUGUGAGAGUACAAGAACUUGGAUGUUAAAAAAUUGGUCGUGAUUACUUCUCAGGAGUUCUGGUAGUAAUAGAUCAAACUUAUACCUUAUUCAGAUAAAUUGCUAAAGAUCGUAGCAUGAUUAGUUAAGAGGAAGACAAUUUUAGCCAUUUCGUCGACAAUCACGGGGAAGGCUUUGCCAAAUACUUCAUUUCAUGGAUUCUGAGUUUCAGCGGCGGAAGCAAGGGGAAGCCAGCAGGACCGGGCCCUUGCAAAACUUUUUUUUAAAAACAAAUAUAACAAAUAAUAGACUUUUUAAUAUUAAAUUAUUAUUUUAUUAGUUAUGUUUGACUUUAAAACUAUAUCUCCUUGUAUCUUUAUAUAAGUGGAAAACAAAAAGACAAAUAAGCUUUUCAAUUUAAUUCCCUUUCUUUAAUCUCUCUCUCUUUCUUUUCUGCAACUUUAACAAAAAAAAUUAAUAAUACAAGGCAUAAAGGUUCAAGCAAAAUUGCCAAUUAAUUCUUCAUCAAAAUAAGGCAAUUAGUUUUUUAAUGUUUGUUAAGAAUUUGAUAUAUAUAUAUAUAUAUAAUUCUGCUAUUUUUGUUUUUCAAAUCUACUAGUUUUAUCAUUUUUUAUUUCUUGUUAUAGUGAAUGUUGUUUUUUCUAAUUAAUUGGAUAUAUUUUAUGAGUUUGUUUUGAUUAUGUUUGGAUUUUUUUAUUUUUUUUUUUUAGCAGAUCCAUCAAAAUUAUUAAUUUUUUCUCACGUGUACCUUACUAUCACCAGGUCCAAUAUACAAUUAGACAUGAUCUUUGUAGCCAAAUUGAAUUCUUUGAAGAGCACAUACCCAACUUUGAUUCAGUGUAAGUUUUCUUUUUUAGGAACUAGUAAUCCCAUUUUUUAUGUUAGAUAUGCUUUUAUAUAUCAAUUUCUUUUUUUAAUAUGUUAAUUUUGCUUUCAUAUGUCUGUGUGGUUUACAUGUAAAAAAAAAAUUUUGGUUUUGAUUAUUGCUUCAACACAUCAUUAUUUGUAUUUAUUUUUUAAAUAGGAAACAAUAAAAAUUUGUGAUGUUUUGAUUUUAGGUUGAACCAUGAACAAAAUAAGAAGAAUUGAUUCAUUUUUUGAGAAAAAAGAGAAAAAUAUUGAUAACUCACAACCUAGUAAAUCAACUUCAAUGUGUAAUGUUGAAGUUAUGGUUCAACAACCCCAAUGUGCUUCAGUUUAUGAAGAACCUGCAUUGAUUAAUGAGCAGCCUCCUACUAAAAUCGACAUUGCUCAUCUAAUCAGAGAUCCAAGCAAUCGUCCUCAAAUUUAAGAAUACCCGGUUAAUCAACAAGAUGAAAUUAGAAGGGCAUACAUUAAUUUAGGGCCAUAUCAACCUUUGAUUUCUGAAUAUCCGCUGACUGGUAAAAAAACAUCCUCGUCGAUUUCAGUCUCAUUAAUUGGUUCAAAAGUUAUCCAUGGCUUGAAUAUUCAGAGAAAAAUACUGCAUUUUGUUUCCCUUGUUAUCUAUUUUCAAGUAAGUCAUCUGGAAAGCCAGGAUCAGACACAUUUACUGUUAAAGGAUUCAAUUGUUGGAAGAAAGUUAAUGAUGAGGAACGGUGUGCUUUUUUAACUCAUAUGGAAAAAGGUCCGAAUUCAGCUCAUAGAUUUGCUACCAGGUGCUUGAAAAAUUUGAAAAAUCAAUCAUGUCAUAUUGAGAAAGUAGUUAAGAGGCAAACUACUCAAGAAAUUCUAAAUAAUUGUUUGCGUAUUAAAGCUUCAAUAGAUAUUGUUCGUUGGCUCACAUUUCAAGCAUGUGCUUUUAGAGGACAUGAUGAACGUUCAGAAUAAAAAAACCUAGGUAAUUUUCUUAAAAUGUUGGAACUUUUAGCAUCAUACAAUGAACAAGUAGGUGCUCUUAUUUUGGAUAAUGCUCCACAAAAUGCUAAAUACACCUCGCUUCAAAUUCAAAAAGAAAUUUUGCAUGUCUUUGCUAGAAAUGUUCAGUCUUCAAUUCGUCAUGAGAUUGGUGAUGCAAGAUUUUGCUUAAUUGUUGAUGAAGCUCGAGAUGAAUCCAGAAGAGAGCAAAUGACCCUUGUUAUUAGGUUUGUUGAUAGAAUUGGAUUUAUACGAGAAUGAUUUUUGGAUAUAGUUCAUGUCAAAGAUAUGACUGCUUCAACUCUUAAUAAAGAGAUUUUCUUUGUUUUAUCUCAUCACAAUCUUGAUGUUCAAAAUAUUAGGGGUCAAGGGUAUGAUGGUGCUAGUAAUAUGCUUGGAGAGUGGAAUGGAUUGCAAGCUUUAUUCAUUAAUGAUUGCCCUUAUGCAUGUUAUAUACAUUGCUUAGCUCAUCAAUUACAAUUGGCUUUUAUUGCUGCAGUUAGAGAAAUAUCUGAUGUUUACAUUUUCUUUCAGAACUUGAUUUUUAUUGUUAACAUUGUUAGUACUGCUUGCAAACGUAAUUACGAGCUUUUCAAGCAGCUACAAUUGAACAUUUAAUUGAUAUUGGUGAAAUUAAAACGGGUAAAUGAGUUAAUCAAAUAGGUGGUUUGCAACGACCUGGAGAUAGAAGAUGAAGUUAAAUUAAUUUGCAGUUUGACAAAAAUAUAUGGGGCAACUUGCUUGGUUCUUGAAAACUAGUGAGUUUUUAGCUAUCAAAUGGCUUUCAAAACAGUUUUCUAAAUUUUACAUUCUAUUUGUGUACUCUAAUUCGUCUCCAAUAUCUCUUAUCAAAUGGGUUCUGAUUUAGAUGGUAUGAGCGAGACUUUUGGCAUACAAAAGCUGGGAGUUCCUGUCCAAGUUAAGGGAUGCAAGCUGAUUCUUACAACCCGAUCAGAAAAGAUUUGUCUAUGGAUGAAGUUUCCUAUUUACUUUGCAACAACCCUUAGCAUUGACGGGGGAGGAGUGAGAGGCAUCAUUCCUAGAUUAGUCCUUGCCGCUCUUGAAUCUAAGCUCUAGCUAGGUUCUUGAAUAAAAAACUUUAGAGUUACGCUCAUGUAACAUCGAUCAGACAAAAUACAAUAAUUAAUUAUUGUUGAAAAGCAACUUGCGGUACAUAUAAGUUAUUAUUGAGCUGUCCAUGAAAGUGAGGUCCUUAAAUUUUGAUUCUGCAAUGAUCUUGAUGACAAAUUCAAGAGCAAGGAACAGUACAAGCAAUGGACAAGGAGAAACAGACGACCAUACAAAUAAUCUGAGGCCCUCUUUGAAUUGUUCUGGCAGCUUGCUAAUAGCCUACUCCAUAUGGUUGCUCAGUUCGAUCUCAAUGCUUACAAUGUUUUCAGAUUUACUCUGUAUGGUUACUCAGUUCGAUCUCAAUGCUUUUAGAUUUUGCUCAGUUCAUGUUAUAACCCGCAGCACCGCGCGGGCAAUUCACCUGGUACAUUCUGCAAUGAUCUUGAUCACAAAUUCAAGAGCAAGGAACAGUACAAGCAAUGGACAAGGAGAAACAGACGACCAUACAAAUAAGAGUCGGCAGGCCGAUGUAUUGGGGCAGCCACCUCUCUGUUUAUAAAAAAGCUUUUUGCUCAGAUGAUUUUUGUGUUAUACCUCUUUUUUUUAUUAUUAUUAUUAUUUCAGAAAACUAUCCUGAACUGGAAAAUAAAAUGGAGUUGCUCGCCUCGCAACAUUUCAUCCUUGUACUGUUUGAAAGUAUAAUUAUAAUUAUUUUUUAAAAUAUUUUUAUUUAAAAAUAUAUAAAAAUAAUAUAUUUUUAUUUUUUAUAUCAACAUCUUAAAAUAAUUUAAAAACUCUAAACAUGUGACCUUUACAGGGCUUAAGUCUAAUCAGAUUCACUAAUCAAUAAAAAAAUUAUCAUAAAUGAGUGUUGUAACAAUAUUUUUUAAAUAUUUUUUUAUUUUUUUAAAAUUAUUUUUAUAUCAACACAUCAAAAUAAUAUAUAAAUAUAAAAAAAUAAAAUUUAACCAAUACCCAUUUAAAACACAAUAGCAAACUGGGAUUAAGCAACACAGAAUUAAUCAAAUAGUUUUUUGGAUAAUGAUAAUUUUGUUGGGCCACAGAAUUAGGUCACUGAAGAACUUUUUAGUAAAGGAUCAAUUAUCCACACAAUCCUUCAUCACCAUCCAAUCCCAUCACUGGAAAACUUAUCCUCUUUGAUCUCAAUGCCCUUUUGUCAUCCCCAAAUAUAUGCUUUUAUCCCUUUUCCUUUGUAUUUUGUCGUUUGUGUCUUUGUCCACUGGCUUAAGGGUGUUUAGUAAUUCUACAUACGGUUUUUUAAAAAAUAUUUUUCAAAUAAAAAUAUAUUAAUAUAAUGUUUUUUAAUUUUUGUUAAUACCAACCCAUUAAAAUUAAUUUGAUAUUUUUUAAAUAAAAAUAAUUUAAAAAGUAAUAUCAAUUACAUUACCACCAACUGUAUGGGUUGGUUUAUUGGGAUCAAAGUCAAGAGAAGCAUAGGUUUACGCUAAUGGAUGAUUACGACCAGAACAAGGGUUUAGCAAGGAUCGGAAGAGGGACAGGAGGGUUUAGAGGACACGUGUCAAGUCUUACCAUAAAGGUUAAAAAAUGAUUCAUGAUAUUACUGUAACGUCUUGUGAGAAGCUGAAGAGGAUGGCAAUUUGUUUCCCGUUGCUUGAAAAUGGCCAGCCAUCCCCUCCCCCUUCUCUUAGAGAAAUCAAUGAAUAUCCAGAAGAAUGGCGGGAGAGAGUAGUGGAGUGGGAGCAUCCUAACGCAAAGGAUGUCCUUCGUCCCUUUGUAAAGUAAUAUAAUAUAGUGUGCUUACAAUUACAUAAAUAACAUUUUUCAUUGUUUUAUUUCAUUAAAGACUACUGAAUUGUCAUAUAUAUAUUUUUUAACUUGAUAGAUAAAUAAUUAUAAUUUGAAGUUUGAUUAAUAUUAUAUUUUCAUCCUAUUGAGUUUCUCCAAGAUGAAAAUCCAAAAAAUAAAAUAAAAAUACUAUAUUGAUUUAUCAUUAAAGUAACCUAAUAAAAUAAUAAAUGUACAAACAUUUUUAAAAUGUCUAAGAGAGUAUGAAGAUGGCAGUUUUGGUUUCUAAACCUGAAACUGCCAUAUUCAUAAACACAUUUUUUAAAUAAAUGAAACUUCUAAGACCAAAUUUAAUACUAAAACUAGAAAGUAGCAUAGGCGUGUUAUAGGUAAGGGCAGAUACACUGCACUCAUGACAUGAUCUCUUUAAUAAUUUUGAUCCCUAUAAAAUCUCCCUCUGGUUGUUUGAAGCUAAAGCUUGAUUGCGUUCCUGUGGUUUUGAUGAGUCUAUGAAAUGCUAAAAUGCUAAAAUGGAAUAAAAAUAAUAGAAAUUAAACAGACAAGUCAAGGCCCAGCUGGAGUCGUGAAAUUUCACUAAUGAGGAUUUCGAAAAAGGAACUGCUAAAGCCUAAAAUUUAGGCAAUUUGUUUUUGACACAACGGGGAUCAUGAAGACGUGAUGAAAUAUAAUUUUAAAAUUUAAAAUAUUUUUAAAUAGUUAAGAUUAAAUAAGUUUUUAAUUUAACGCAAUUCAAUUUUAAUAAAAUAUCAAUUAAUUAAUAAUAAAAUAAUAAAAUCGAUAGUGUCAUCGGUUGAUUUUAUUAGUUUAAGUCAACAUUAAUAAAACAAAAGAUUUGAAAUUUAAUUAAUUAUUAAAUAACAUGUUUAUGGUUAGAUUACAGUUUCUUCUUUACAAAUAACCAGGGGGGAAAUUAACAUAAAAAACAAAUCUUAAAUUUCAUUUUUUAAAUAAAUUAGGUAGGAUUUGAGUUUUUUUAAGUAAUUAUAUCUUUAUUAGCUUAAACAAAGAUACUUAUUAAAAGGGCAGAUUAGAAAAGGGAAAUUUAAGAGUAAUUAAACUUGUAAAAGCAUGUUGAAGACCAUAUCUAAAAUAUAAGGAUUAAUUGGGAAAAGUCUUCAAAGAAAAAGGACUACUUUUUUAUGGGAUGGUGGGGGAGUUUCUCGGAAUUGAAAUGGUCAAGGAUGUAGAGGAGUGUCAUCUUUCCCAUCACUGUUAUCGCCACCGAAGAGUCGAAAUUAGUCCUGGCCUGUUAUGGCAAGUCGUCGGAGGGAGGGCGACCCAUUUUCCUAAAGGAUUGUUUGGCAAAGCGUACACUUGCAUAAAGGAAUGGUUAAGGCUCUCUUGAAAAUUAAGAGUUCUAUAAAAGGUAUCAAGAUUAAGGAAUGUAUAAUAACGGUUGUGGUUUAAAAUAUUUUUUAUAUAAAAAUAUAUUAAAAUAAUAUUGUUUUAAAUUAUUUUUGACAUCAACACAUCAAAAUAAUUUAAAAACAUAAAAAAAUUAUUCUUAAGCAAAAAAAAUUAAAUUAUGAUGGAACACGGUUUGCAUUGCGUUUCUAAAUACGCUCUAGGUCAGAGUUGGAUUUUGCUCCACCGGUCUUCAACUAUGAAUAUUGAAAUUUAUUAUUCAUUUGUGUCUUUGAUUUUGCCGAUUCGAGCCAAGCCGACAUUACCCGAUCGACUUUUUUUCAAUCAAUUUUACAAAAAUAAAAAACUUAAAAACCAAACCAAAUCUUCAUUUUGAGUUAUAAAAUAAGCUAUAAAUUUCAAAUCCAACAAUGGAUUUAUUAAAGAGAAAAACAUUUAACUAUAUAAAUACAAUUUGAAUUAUUUGAACCACAUUUUGUAUACAUUUAAUUUUCUUAACACUAAAGAAUGAUCAUGUAAGUGUUGUUAAAAUAUUUUUUAAUAUUGAAAAAAAUAUAUAAAUAUAAAUCAAAAGGUCAAUGCUUGUAUAUAAUAAAAUACAAUGAGGAUCAUUGUCUGCCCUCCGCUACGACAUAGGUCAUGAUAUUGUAAUAAUAUUGUAAAAAGCAAAUCAGAACAAAUUAAUCAUAUAAAAACAAACACAAAAUAUAUCAUGAAGAUCAAUCUAAAAUAAACCAAAUGCUUUAAAAAACAUUAAAAAUGAAUCCUUUUUUUUAAAAAAAAAAUAUGUAAACUGUCGCACGUGCGCGACGUCGCGGCGAUCGUCCACCCUCGUAUGUGUGAUGGGGGGUAUAUAUCUAGUAAAUAUGGUGAGACAAGGAGUUCUUUGUCUCUUAGCAGUGAAAAAUAGUGUGGGAGUCGCCACCUAGUAUUUUGGUCACUAGGAACCCUAACUGGUCUCAGAGAUCAGGCACGGGGACUGGUUGCGUAAAGAGAAGGUAUUAGCACCCCAAAUACGCCUUACCUAAGGUAAGCUGCAUUGUUUAUUUGUCUGAUAAAAUUCAAAGUCUCGUUGUGUUUCCUAGUUGUUGGUCCAUCCAUAGUUCAAGAAAAGUCCUCCUCAAUAAGGAGGUCCUUAUCUUAUCGGGUAAAACCUAAACGUUCUAAUGUCUAUGUAUGUUGGUCCGUCUAUGGUUCAAGAAAAGUCCUCCUCAAUAAGGAGGUCCUUAUUUUAUCGAGUAAAACCUAACCGUUCUAAUGUCUAUGUAAAAAAGCUAUAUUUUUAAUAUCAGGAAUACAUUUUACGUAUAAAUUCUUAAUCCCAAAUACUAAAAGAAGACAAAAAGAUUUUUUUAGAAUUUUUGAAAUAUUGGCCUAGUUCUCAUGACUUGAAUAAACUGGUUAUUAAAGCCAAAAUGCAUGCUAAUACAUAUAUUGAUUUUUGAAAUUUCCUUUGUUGUGUGAAAAUAUGCUGUUAUAAUAUUUAUAUAUAUAUAUUGGAGAGACUAGGCCGUAUGCACGAAAACAAAACCUUUUUAAUUUAUGUAUUUUUUUUGUAUGUUUUGACGCAAAUCGGGUAUUUUAAUACUGGGUUUGUAUUCUUACAGUAUAAAAAUACAACCAAAUAUUAAUCCACUUUGAUAAAACAAAUGCAGAAAAAUCAACAAUAUUUUUAAAGAUAUUUUUAGAAAAUUUUUGAAAAGCAAAAGACAUUUUUUUAUUUUGAAAAUCUUUGAUGUUUUGAUGAAAACCGGGUAUUUUAAUACUGGAUUUUGUAUCUUUAGAGUAUAAAAAUACCAACCGAUAUUAAUCAAAAUACAAUAAUAAAAUUACAACAAAAUCACAUAUUUUUUUAAAAUAAUUUUUGCAGAAUUUUUGUAAUUUUUCACAUAUAUAUAUAUAAGUAAUACAAAAUAUAAUAUAAAUAAUAUAUAAUAUUAAAUUCAGGCUGGGCCGGCCCAACCAACUGGGCCGGACUCAGCCCAAAAUUGUUGGGCCGAUUUCGGCCCAAAGUGGAUUGGGCCGAUCUCGGCCCAAAAAAACUAAUAUUCUCUUCUGGGCCAGACCUGGCCCAGAAGACAGGGCUGGGCCAGGAUCUGCCUGGCCCAAGCCAAAACGGGCGGGGGGAAUUAUUUUCCCCCCACCCCUGCAUGCAGAACGCUACUCGUUCUGCAUGCAGAGAAGGAAAAGAAAAAAUAAACGCGAGAAUGAGGGGGAAGAAAAGUUACCUGGCGCGGAGGCGGAGGCGGUGGCUUGCUGCGUUUCUGGCGGUGCUGUGGUGGAGGCCGGUAGCGGUGUCGCUGCUCACUGGCGGCGGCUCCAAGCAGCGGCGCUGCUGUCUCAAGCGGCGGAGAGAGGGAUUCUUCCUCUUUCCUUCUCCUCUGUUUCCUUCCCUUUUCUUCUUCUUCUUUGGUUUUCUUUCCCCCUGUUUUCCUUUCUUUCGGUUCUCUCUUCUUCCUCUCCCCUUUCUCUCUCUUUCGGUUUUUUUUCCGUUCUCCUCCCCUCUCCUCUGUUCUUCUUGUUUUUUUCUCCCCCGUCUGUUCUCUUCCUCCUCCUCAUUGCUGCUGUGUUGGCUGUUAUUUAUAGAGCCAAGUGAGUGGCUUUUCGCUGUGGAGCAUGGGGAGCAGCCGGCCGGUCGGCCAUUGGGCGCGACUGCCAAGGCUCGGCCCCCCUCCCCGGUUUUCUGGCAGGUGCGCGGUGGGUGGUCGGCCAUUGUGUCCGGUCGGUGGGCUCCAGGCGAGAGAGUGGCCGGCAAAAAUUCAAAUUAAAGCAACCCUUUUUCCUUCUUCCCCGCUGCAUGUUCGGGGGGGAAGAAGAAAGAUGAACAGUGUCAUUCAAAACGACACCGUUCUGCUCUUUCUUUUUUUUUUUUUUCUUGAAUGUAUGAAACGGCGUCGUUUUGGAGAAAACACGCCGUUUCAUUUGAAUGUGGCGCCAAAACGCGCCAAAGUCCAAAUCAGCCCUUAAUCAUCUUUUUUUCUUCAAUUGCGUCCCUGCCAAUUUCGGUCUCCGCCCCUCUUGUUGGCCGCGUUUUUCACUUUAGUCCUUGGCCUCUGAUUUAUGCAAUUGAGCCCUUAAUUGAUCAAAAACUUCCAAUUUCUUCAAUUAGGCCCCUGAAUCAAUUAAUUCCAGCCCCUCCAUUUACGCGCCUCUUCCAAUUUGGUCCCUGGUUUCGGAUUUUCUCAAUUAAGUCCCCAAUUGGCCCUUAAACUUCAAUAUUUAUGCAAUUAGGCCCCUGAUUUGACCUAAUAAAUUCCUAAAAAAUAUAUUUUGGCCCCAAAACUUAAAUUUCUUCUAAUGAAAGCCCAAAUUGACUUAAAAAUCAAAUUUUCUUACAAUCAAAUCUCCUAUAAAUUCAUUUAAAAAUCCAAUCAAGUCCAUAAACAUCCAAAUUUGGGCUUUUCUCCUCAAAUUUCAAAUUUUCCUUCUCAACAGGGCUCUCCUCCCUCAAGAAUAUAUUAUCAAAAAAAAUCCAAUCUUUGUAUUUUUAACCUCAUUGACAAAUUUUCCAACCAUUUUCUGAGCGCUUCUACCUCCUGUUAUUUUUCUAACCUCCUUUGGCUAUAUAUUUUUAUAUAUAUUUUGUGGGGACCCAAAAAUGGGUUACAACAUAAACGACAACAUAAUAGUUCGACAUGAGCUUUGUGACUAAACCCACCAAACCCGCGACUUUGUAAAAAACAAAUCAGAAUAAAUUAAUCGUACAAAACAAUCAUGAAACAUAUCAUGGAGAUCAAUCUAAAAUAAGCCAAAUGCUUUAAAAAAAAUUAAAAAUGAAUCUUUUUUUUAAAAAAAAAUAUGUAAACGACAACAUAAUAAAUCGAUAUGAGCUUUGUAGCUAAAUCCACAAAACCUGCGACUUGAAUCAUGGAGUCCAUUGAGUUUAAUAAGAACGUUAUUUUAAUUCUUUUUUUUCUAAAAAAAGGAAAAUUAAGUGAAAAGUUUUUAUAGAAAGACCAAGCCUAGUUGGGCAUAUAAUAAAAUCUACAGGGACUGUAAAUACAUAAUCAAGAAAAUAGGAGGACCAAAGUUAACUUUUUUCACCAUCCAUUCUCUCUGUUUUUUUCACUAUCUUUUGAUUUUAUACUCGAUUAACAAUCUUACUUAAACUGAUACUCAAUUUAAUUCAGAAAGGGCGGAAUUUAAAACAACCGAAGUAUUGGAAAAUUCAUCAAUCAUGAUGUUAACAUGUCAUAAUUAAUUUGAGAUAAGGAAUAUGUAUGGACUUUACAAAUAGGUAUUAUCAUCUAGAAUACUAUAAUUCUUAUUAGCAAUUUUUUUUUGUACAUAUUCAAGGCUUUCUACCAGAAUUCUUAUUAGGAAAAACUUGUGUAGAUAUUCAAGGUAGCUGUAAGUACAAAUUCUCAAAGUACUGUAGGGAAUGGAAGUUGAGGUGGAUCAGAUAAUGACAUUGAUGGGGGAGGAGUGCGAUGCAUCAUUCCUAGCAUAGUCUUACAUUUUCAGGUCAGCUUUUUCAAAGUUUCAACAAUGGGGUGGGUCCACGAGUUAAAGUGUUUGGCAUUAUUGUCAGAAAAUGUUUUUCUUAAAAAAUAAUUUUUAGCUUCUGAUUCUUUUGUUGAAGAUUUUAAUUAUAUGCAGCGCUAGACAAAAGAAAAGCGAAAUAGAGGUGUACAGCAACUUGUUGUCUCUUGUAAUAUAAUCUUUGGUAGGAAAGUUAUGGCUUUUUUCCUAGCAACUUCUUGUCAAACAAUAAAAGAAUCUUUGCUACUGUAACAUUCUCUUCCAAAUCUCAUCUCAUUAUACCAUUGAUUUCCAAUUUCCCUCAUCAAAUUUCUUAAACCUUUCUGAUGAUCAGUGCUUCCUUUUCUGAUUGAAUCGAAUCAUCUGGAGCUCAACAUCUUGCAACUUCCUUGUUAUUUUUAAACCAUAUAUUCUUCUCUGAUCUUGUUUUUCUUCCUGAAUACUAGUUAAGCAAACCAGCACUUGAAGAACUACUUGAUCCAGGUAAAUUAUUUAUACUCCAUCUUCUUCAUUUUGUUUUUCACAUGUAACUCUGGUUUGAAUCUUUCAAGGAAAACACAAGUUGUAGAAAUUAUAAUGAGAAACUUUGGAGUUAGGAUCAUCAACAGUUUCCAAAAAUAAAUAAUUUGAUCUUUCUCAGUUGUAACAAUCCAUGCCUUAAGGAGUUCAUACUAAAUUGACCCCAAGUUAACCUUGAAUUCAUUGGUUUUUCUUCUUGGUUUCUUUGCUGUUUGUAACUUAUUAUUUUAGUUUCAACCUUCCUUUUCCAAUUAAUGUACUUCCAUUAAUUUUUAUUCAAUAUUUUGACCCUUUUUAUCUAUAGGACAAAUGGAUCCGUUUUGGAAUGAAGUUGAAGAUAUGAAUGAUGGAAGCAAGAAGUGUAAAUUUUGUGGGCAUUUAUUUGCCAAUGGUACUUCCAUUUCGAGGAUCAAAUGGCAUUUAUCAGGAGAGAGAGGGCAUGGUGUUGGCAUUUGUGGUCAGGUGCCUAAAGAAGUUCAAGAAGCAGCCUUUCUAGCUAUGCAUGGUGGCAACAAAAGACAUAAAAGCAUAGCAAGUUCAAGCAAUGUUGACAUUUCCACCUGUCCACAAGAACAAGAUAAUGCAGUACUUGGUAAUUUGGCACAAGGUGUUGGGCGUGAGAGAAUUCAUUCGCGUUUAGAAGCGGCAAAUGGCAUGGAAAACACUGGUGAAGGAUCUUUUCAGCAUGUUGACAGAAGUGUCUCUCCUUGGAGACUCGGAGUUGAUGCUCAUGAGAAUAAAGGAGAAGCAACACAAAGAACAGAUUUAGCGGAUCAAUUUGCUGAUAGUACUUGGGUUCAGAUACACUCUGCCCUUUCAAAGGCGCAGAAGCUGAAUGAAAUCUCUACCUAUUUAAUGCAGGAAGAUGAGGAUGUGGAGCGUCUGCAUGAUGCAUUUGAAACCGUACCGAGAACAGAACAAGUGCAGCAUCUGGAGAGAGGUAGCUCUUGUGAGAGGCCAUCAAUUAAUCAAGCUGUGUAUAAUGUGCAGAACAUGGUUAGAGUGAGGACAGAACCAGUGGAGGAGGAUGUGGAGAAUAGUGGAAGAUUAGCGCGGCCUGACGCUGGAGCUAGAUCUUCUAUAAGCCUUAAAUACAACACAAGUGAGACUAGAGGAGUUCCAUUACCUACUAGCUCUACAAAGCCAGUGGGUCAAGCAUUUGAAGAGAAUACGAAAGUGAUAUGGUCUUUGUUAAUGGAUGAUAAAGUCUCAACCAUUGGCAUUUACGGCAUGGGGGGAGUUGGUAAAACGACAAUACUAAAACAUAUCUAUAAUGAGCUUCGAGAAAGAAAGGACAUUUGUGAUCAUGUUUGGUGGGUGAUUGUAUCUCAAGAUUUCAGUAUUAAUAGAUUGCAGAAUCUUAUUGCUAAACGUCUUAAUCUAAACCUUUCAAGCGAAGAUGAUGAUUUGUAUAGAACUGCUAAAUUGUCAGAAGAACUAAGGAAGAAAAAAAAAUGGAUUCUCAUUUUAGAUGAUUUGUGGAAUAAUUUUGAGCUUGAGGAAGUGGGAAUUCCUGAGAAGUUAAAAGGAUGCAAGCUGAUUAUGACAACUCGAUCAAAAAUAGUUUGUGAUCGGAUGGCUUGCCACCCCAAAAUCAAAGUGAAGCCACUUUCCGAGGAAGAAGCUUGGACUUUGUUCAUGGAGAAACUUAGAAAUGACAUAGCACUUUCACGAGAAGUGGAAGGAAUUGCGAAAGCUGUUGCAAGGGAAUGUGCUGGUUUGCCAUUGGGAAUUAUUGCAGUGGCAGGAAGCUUGAGGGGAGUGGAUGAUCUACAUGAUUGGAGGAAUACAUUGAAUAAAUUAAGAGAAUCAGAAUUUAGGGACAUGGAUGAGAAGGUAUUCAAGUUAUUGAAGUUUAGUUAUGAUCGGUUAGGUGAUUUAGCACUAAAGCAAUGUCUCUUGUACUGUGCAUUAUUUCCUGAAGAUGAUAGGAUUAAGAGGAAGAGGUUGAUAGGUUAUUUGAUCGAUGAGGGAAUAAUUAAAGGAAAGAGGAGUAGGGGAGAUGCAUUUGAUGAGGGCCACACGAUGCUUAAUAGACUUGAAAAUGUCUGUCUAUUGGAAAGUGCUAAUUGUAAUAAUGGUAGACGUGUCAAGAUGCAUGACUUGAUUAGGGACAUGGCCAUCCAAAUACUGCUAGAGAACUCUCAAGGCAUGGUCAAAGCAGGUGCACAAUUAAAAGAGUUGCCAGAUGCAGAGGAAUGGAUGAAGAAUCUGACGAGAGUUUCAUUAAUGCAAAACAAGAUCGAAGAAAUUCCUUCCAGCCAUUCACCAAUGUGUCCAAAUCUGUCCACUCUAUUUCUAUGUGAUAAUAGAGGGUUGAGAUUUGUUGCGGAUUCAUUUUUCAAGCAAUUACAUGGGCUCAAGGUCCUCGAUCUGUCUUGCACAGGUAUUGAAAAUUUGCCAGACUCUGUCUCUGAUUUGGUGAGUCUCACUGCGUUAUUGCUCAAAAAGUGUGAGAACUUACGUCAUGUUCCAUCAUUAAAGAAGCUCAUGGCACUGAAGAGGUUGGAUCUCUCUCGUACUGCGCUUAAAAAGAUGCCGCAAGGAAUGGAAUGCCUAAACAACCUGAGGUAUCUUAGAAUGAAUGGAUGUGGUGAAAAGGAGUUUCCUAGUGGGAUAUUACCAAAACUCUCUCAGCUGCAAGUUUUUGUACUAGAAGAGCUUAAGGGGAUCAGUUAUGCUCCGAUAACAGUUAAAGGAAAGGAAGUAGGAUCCUUGAGAAAUUUGGAUACUUUGGAAUGCCAUUUUAAAGGUUUCUCUGACUUUGUGGAGUAUCUCAGAUCUCAGGAUGGGAUCCAAUCAUUAAGUGGAUACAGAAUUUCAGUAGGAAUGGUGGGUACAUAUUUUUGGAAAUACAUGGAUAAUUUGCCAUGUAAAAGAGUUCGGUUGUGUAAUUUGAGUAUCAACAGAGAUAGAGAUUUUCAGGUCAUGUCCUUAAAUGACAUUCAAGGACUGGUUUGUGAAUGCAUCGAUGCAAGAAGUUUAUGUGAUGUUUUGUCAUUAGAGAAUGCAACUGAACUGAAGCACAUCAGCAUUUGGGAUUGCAAUAGCAUGGAGAGCUCGGUUUCAUCUUCUUGGUUCUGCUGUGCUCCACCACCAUUGCCAUCAUGUAUGUUUUCUGGGCUUAAAGAGUUUUAUUGUGUUAGAUGUAAAAGUAUGAAGAAGCUGUUCCCACUUGUGUUGUUGUCAAACCUCGUAAACCUGGAAGUGAUUGACGUUAGAGAUUGUGAGAAAAUGGAGGAGAUAAUAGGAACAACAGAUGAAGAAAGCAGCACCUCCAUUUCCAUCACGAAAUUAAUACUCCCAAAGUUAAGAACUCUGAGACUGAGAUAUUUACCAGAACUGAAAAGCAUUUGCAGUGCAAAACUGAUUUGCAAUUCUCUUGAAGAUAUUACUGUAGAGGAUUGUGAUAAGCUGAAGAGGAUGCCAAUUUGUCUUCCAUUGCUUGAAAAUGGCCAGCCAUCUCCUCCCCCUUCUCUUAGAAGAAUGAAUAUAAAAUCAAAAGAAUGGUGGGAGACAGUAGUGGAGUGGGAGCAUCCUAACGCAAAGGAUGUCCUUCGUCCCUUUGUAAAGUUUGGGUUAGUUUGAGGAGCCAUCUCAUCCUUUCGUUAAUCCUUUCGUUGUAAGAAUACUAAUUGAUUGUAACCUUAAAUUUGCUCGUAUUCAAUAAUAUUCAAUUCUUUCAAUCAUUUUUGAUAUGAUUGAUGAAAAUAGUCCUUUAAAUCAACAAGGAUAUUCUUAUUAGUUAAUAUUGAAAUAAUCCUUCGUCCCUUUGUAAUUUAAAAUUUGAUUAAUAUUAUAUUUUCAUCCUAUUGAGGUUCUCCAAGAUGAAAAUCCAAAAAAUAAAAAAAUACUACAUUGAUUUAUCAUUAAAGUAACCUAAUAAAAUAAUAGAUGUUUUGAAAGAGGGGGUAUAGCGUUUAUUGUACUCCAAACUCAUUGACUGAUGUACCUCUUAAAUAAAAGCACACCAUAUACUGUCAAUAAAAAUAGUGAAUUAUUCUAUAUUAAAAUAUAUUAUUUUAAUGUAUUUUUAAAUAAAAAAAUAUUAAAAAUAACAACAAUUACAUUCAAUCUAAUUACACAAAUCUGACUUAAUACAUAUUAAAGUUUGUGAAGAUUGAAUACCUAGUCUUUAUUUUUUAGUUAUUCUAUAUAAAAUAUAUUAUUUUAAUAUAUUUUUAAAUAAAAACUACUUUAAAAAUUUUAAAAAUAACAACAAUCACAUUCACUUCCGCACUGUCAAAAUCAUUCUAAAAGUAGUAAUGUUCUUUAAAAAAUCAUUGUUUAUGGAUUCAGUAAUGUUUUUUCUAUUAAAUGGAUUAAUUGUUUGAUUAUAUUUAGAUCAUUUAUUUAUCUGUAUUAAUUUAAUUUUUUUACUAUAAUAUUGAUUUAAUAAAAAGAACUCCUACAACAUGCACUUAGCUGCCAAAAAAAUCCUAAAAUUGACUCAAUUGGAAAGGAUCAUGGUACUUACUAUCAAGAUUGUUAUGCCCGCAAUCAAAACAUAAUUUGUUUUUGUACUUAGAAUUAUGUUUGAGUGCAUUUAAAAAUUUGUUUAUUUAAAAAAAUAUAUUAAAUUAAUAUUUUUAAUAUUUUUUGAUAUAUUAAUAUUAAAAUAAAAAAAUAUUUUAAAGAGAAAAAAAAAUAUUUGACAAAGAAUAAAUAGGAAGCUUACGAAUAGUUAAGAGUCGUAUUGCAAAGUAUAGUUUACCGGUUGACUCACAGAUUAACUGAUUAACCCCAUCAUAUUAUUUAUUUAUAAAAACUAAAAUAAUAAUGUUUUUUUUUAAUAUUAUCUUUUUAAAUAUUUUUAUUUUAAAAAAGUUUCACGUUGUAGAUAAAAAAAUGUUUUAAUUUAGCAACGAUAGAGCAUCCACAAGGAAGAUGUUUUGCCUCUUUUUUUUUAAUUUGUUUUUGUUUAUUUGAUUAUAGGCUGGUUUAGAAUUCAGCUAACAUCUAAUAAAAUAUUUUUAUUCUUAGAAAUUUUGUGAAAAACAAUCAGAAAACUAAUUUAAUUAGGGAUUAUUAAUUGAGUAAUUAAUUACCUUAACCUUACAGAGGAUUUUCUUUUCUUUUAUUUUAUUUUUAGAAACAGCUAAUUUAAUCAAACCCCAAUAGCCUGAUUCUUGGAUCACAGAAGCUUGAGACAUGGCACGUGCUACAAGGAAAAAAGCAUGAUUGUGUUGAAAACCUUUAAGAUUGGACUGUCGCAUUCUAACAAUAAUGUUUGUACCAUUUAAUAAUAAUUGGACCCAACUUCACUUCAACUUUAUUUUAUAUUUAUAAUAAAUAAAAAGCAUGAUUGUGUUGAAAAUCUAUUUUCUGUUUUUAUUUUUCAAUUUUGAGAUGACUCCUCAGGAAACAAUUCCAACCAAUUAUUUGCCCUGGAAUUUGGAUGAUGUGUAAUUCCAAGCGGGCACGCUGCAUUUCUUAGCCAGGUGGAGCAAGAAUUGAGGUAGCUUGUUUCUGGCUUUUGCUUCUCUGGGUAUGAUUUAUUGGGCUACUUUAUAGGAUUUUUUAUAAAGCAUUUUGUUUUUAAUUUCAUUUGAUAAUUUAUUUCAAUAAGCUUGUUAUGGAGCUCUUGUGGUCUAAGAAGAAAAAACAAUUCAAUGUAGAGGUGAUUUUGUUCAAUUUAAUUGAUUAAAAAUAAGUGAAAUUUUGAAGGUCAAAUUUGAUAUUAAAAUUAUAUUCAAGACUGAAUGUGAUAUUAAAACUAAAAAUAAGUAAAAAGUUUUUACACUGGUAAAUGUUAUGAAAAGAAAUUGCUAUCCAGCUGGUGUACAGAUUGGAUAGCAAAUCAAGCGUUGAAGUUUUCUACUGCAGUGAAGCUCCCUCUCGUUUUGAUAAGUGUUCGAAAAUAUUUUAUUAUUUGUUUGUUUUUAUGGUUUAAAAAUAUGUUAAAAAAAUUAAUUUUUUAUUUUAAAUUUAAUUAAUUUUUUUGUGUUUUGAAAUUGUUUGGAUGUAUUGAUAUUACAAAUAAUUUUUUAAAAAAUAAUAAUUAAAUAUUAUUUUGAUAUAUUGUUAAACAAAAAAUAUUUUUAAAAAUAAUUGAUACUGCACUCUCAAACACCCCUCAAUGCUAUAUUAUUGAAAUAAAAUGCUAAAAUGUGAAUAGAAAUAAUAGAAAUUAAUGUGUAUUUUUUAAUUGAAUUUCUAUUUACUUUAUAUACUCUUAAACAGGUCUUUAUGUUUGACUUCAGAGUUUAUAGAAAAGCAAGUCAAGACCAAUCAAAUUCGAAGGAGUUAACCUAAUUUAACUGAUUAAAUUUUAAGUUUAUUCUUUAAAAGUUAUUAAUUUAAGUUUAUUUAUCCGUUAAAUUCACUUGGAACCAGCCUGGAUACACUAAAAGUAGUAAUGUUUUUUUUCUCUUGAAAACAGCCUGGAUGCACUUAAGUAUUUUAAUCACAACUUUCCCCUCACAUAUCAGCUUGCUGUGAUUCAUGACGCGUUGGAAAGGUAUCUUAAAGGGCUACAAAUUAGCCUCUAAUGAGGAUUUCGAAAAAAGAACUCCUAAAGCAUUUACGUGGCUGCCUAAGAAGUCCUAUAAUUUAGGUUUCUGAUGAAAACGUGCGGGAUCAUGGAGACGUGAUGAAAAAGGAGGGCUGCCUCUUUUAGAAAAAGGGGUAUUUGUUGGCAAUUGCGCCAGAGAAAAAAAGAAGAAGGAGAACAGGCAAGGAAAGGAAUGGCUAAUACAGUGAAGUAGUAAUAUUUUUUUUUGAUAUAUUGAUAUUAAAAAUAAAAAAAAUAUUUUGAUUACUAAUAACGAAUAGUUAAGAGACGUACUGGUGGACUUAACCUGAGUAAAAAACAAAACCACAUCAUAUUAUUUAUUUAUAAAAACUAAAACGAUGGUAUUUAUUAAAAAAAAAACUAAAAUAACAAUGUUUUUUUAAAUAGUAUUUUUUUAAAUAUUUUUAUUUUAAAAAAGUUUCACAUAGUUGUAGAUAAAAAAAAAAAAGAUGUUUUAAUUUAGCAACAAUAGUUAAGAGACGUAUUGGUGGACUCACAUAUUAACUGAUUAACCUGAAUAAAAAACAAAACCACAUCAUAUAUAUAUAUAUUGGGUUGGUGUUUAAUUUUAUAAUUAUCUAUUUUUAUUAUUAUAUUAUUAAAUAAAAACAAUUUUAAAAAAAAUUAUAAUCCUAGUUGAGUCCAUAACCUGGUUCAUGAGUUUGAUGUGCUAGACCAAGUGACCUGAUUCACAAAUUUGACAGGUUUACUACUGAUCGAAUAUGUUUUUUUUUUUGUUUAUGGUCUUUUAAUUUUUUUAAUUGAUUUUUUUUAUUUUGUCCUUCAAUAUUAUAUUGGUUUCGAAAUAGACUGCAUGAUUUAUUUUUGUUUGUUUUCUAUAGGAUUAUCAUAAUUUUAAAUAAAUAUUUAUCUUAGGGAUAAUACUCAAUUUUAUGAGCAUAUUUUUUUUUCAUAUAAUUAAAUAAAAAAAGCUUAUAAAAAAUUACUAAACCCAAUAAAAUCCAUGACCCGGGUCGCAAGGUACCGAGAUCGAUCAAAUCUGUUAUUAUUUCAAUAUUUUUUUUAAAAAGGUUGUUGUCUAGAGUUUUUUUCUUAAAGCUAAGCCAUGUUUUACUGAUCUUCUAAGUUAUAUUUGGAUAUUGAUCAAUUUAAAUUGAGUUAAUUUCCAUAUAAUUUAAUUAAAAACUUAAAUUAAAUAAAUUAUUAGGUUAAAUUUUUUUAAUAUUAACUACCUAACCAGGUUUAAUAAUAUCGCCAACAAACUUUCUUCACUCUUAAUAUCUUAUAAUAUAAUGUUUGGUAUGUAAAGUAGUGGGUUGCUUCCUAGCAACUUCCCUCCUAUCAAACAAAACAAUAAUUUGUGUAUACUGCAACUUUAUUAUUUUUCUAAAUCAUAUAAUCUUCUCUGAUCUGUGAUUUCUCUUCUGUUUUAAUCCUCAGGACGUACUAAUCAUCUUCUACCUCUUUUCCUUUCCACACCUCACCAGUGCGAACUAGAUUUAUGUGAUUUCUCUUCUCUUUUUUUUGGCUGAUUACUUCUCAAGCGAACCAGCACUUGAAUCCAGGUAAAUUAUUUGUACUUCAUCUUGUUGGUGUUUUUGUUUUUAUAUAUUUAACUAUGGUUUGAAUCUUUAAAGUAAUCCAUGCCUAGUGGAGAGUUCAUAUAUACUAAUUAAUACUGAAUUCAUUGCUUUCAUCUUUUCAAAAUUCUUUGCUGUUUUUAACUCAUUAUUUUAGAUUCACCCUUUUCUUUUCCAAUUAAUGGGACUGCCAUUGAUUUUUAUUCAAUAUUUUUCAACUUGAACAUUAGUAUUAUUUUCAACUAAUUAAUACUGAAUCACCACUGAUGACUCGAGGAUUCCACCUCUGGACCAUUAGCAUAAACUAGCAAUUAAUUAGAUUAACAUAAUUAAUUAUCUUGGAUUCUACUUCAUUAAUUGGGUACGUAGACGCUGCGAUCUGGCCCCCUGGAAACUUGAGGGGCACUUAUUGACAGUGGCUAACAUUAAUGUGACCCCUUCAUGAAUAUAUAUGAUUUCUUCUGGAUUCUUGUGAAGAAUACUGUUUGGUGUAGAUCUUUAGCCCCUGUGAACUUUCAGGAAAUGCUGCCGUGUAACUGUUAGCUUUUUUUUUUUUUUAGUUUAACAUGGGUGUCCGGGCCAGCUUGCACGUACCUCGACUAAUCCCAUUGGCCCUGAAGUUAACGAUCAUGUAAGCCUCCAAUGGUCAUCAUAUACACAUGACUCGAACCUGAAAUUACAAAAAAAACAAAUUUCUUGUUCCCAAGCUCUUACCAGUAUAACUAUUAGCUUUCAUUUAACCGAUCUGCUUAGUGACCUCACAAAUAUGGGAACUGGGAUCCAUAUUUAAUUAUGACAAAAAAAAAAAAAAAACCAACCCUUUUCAUGUUGUCAUCAACUUUAAAUGAACUGAUAGUGCUUCAAUUAUUCCUCUGGAGUAGACACCCAUGUUACUUUUAUGUAUUAAAUUAGUAUGGUUUGCUAAGAAUACCUUCUUGAAAAAAGGAACCAUAAGUAAUGGGAUUAACCUACCCAAGGUUAGGGUUAAGUUCAAAAUGGCCUUGGAGUCAUAAACUUAAAUAAAAUAAAAAACAUAUUAUAAGAUAUUACGAAUCCUUUUCAGAGGCUUGUACUUGAUGCUGCAGAAUAUAAGUUAUAGUAAAAAAUGGAAAUGGGACUUUGCGUGAUAAAUUAUAUGUUAGAAUAAUGUCACACAAGGGCAGGGGAAUCUUAACAAGCUAGCAAGGAUAUAUACAUAUAUAUAUAGUACACCACCAUAACAUCCAACAUACCUCACUAAUUAUUAAUUAAUUCUCGAACUUUGAGAACUUAAAGAAUAAAAAAUAUUCGCAAUCAGUUAAUUACCCCUCUCUUCACUGUAUUAAAGACCUCCAAAACAAUCAGCUCUUCUACCUUCAACAGUUAUCCUGCAUCUUUCUAUCUAUCAUAAAAAUAAUUUGAGUAUGAUAAUUUAUCUUAAAAGACAAAGGAUUAAAUCAUUAACAACAACAUUUAUAUUUCAUAUUUUUCAUCCGAAUUUCUUUAACAAACAAGAAAGUCAUAUAUAUAUAUAUAUUCUUUUCUGAUCUGUGCUUUCUGUUCUUUUAAGACCUCAGUUUUUUUUGUCUUUUCUGAUCUUUUCUGGUCAGAUGGAAGAGUUCCAACCAUCUUUUAUGGAGGAGGUUGACAACAUGACAUGGGAUCAGCUGGGUUUUCAAUCAGAAGAAGAUACAUUCAAUAUGUCUGAGCUUCUCUCGUACGUCAUUCUUAAGCAUAUUUUAUCAGAAGAUGAUUGCUUGCAGUUUAGUUAUUCUUCAGUUUAUCCUAUUAUUCCCAAAAAACAAUAUAAUGUCGUCACUGUCCAUGGAAGCAGGCCGCCACCGGAGGUUCCAGUCAACCAAAGCUCCAUAUCAUGCAAUGAUCAAGGUGGACAGAACAAUGUGAUCAACAAUAGUAUUCAACAAACAACUCCGUUUCCAACUUCAUUUCCUGAAACAAUGGUGAGUACUCCAAGCUUACUCCAAUUUGCUACAAUGUCCAUUGAAUUAGCAAGUGUUUGUAUUAUACAAAAAGUUUUAUGUUAAACAAACAGACAACAAUUGAGAGAUUUAGACAUUUUUUAUGAUAUUUUUUAUCAUUAAGUUUUAUAUAAAAUUGGCCUCAAACUCCAUCAAGGCAUCAUAAUUCCUUUAUUCAUCAACCUCAGCCGGGACAUGGCUAUAUGACACCGAACGCAACCACUUCACAACAUGGUGGCUUCAAUCAACCUGGACCUUCUUUUCCUCCUCCCCGGUAUCCAAUUUUUCAUGUUUAGUAUUUUCUGUAAAAAAAAAAUAGUUUUUCAAUCAUUAUUUAACUUCUUCUUCCUCCUCCUCUUGUUGUUGUACUUAUCAGUGAAUUCAUUAACAAAUGUUGCUAAUUUAGGGACCAACAAUGGACUCAUUAUCUGUUACCAAUGAGCAAUCAAGUGCCUGCGAUGCUACCUGGACCUCAACCUCCAAUGAAUCAAUGGUAUUAACCUCGAAUUUACGCUUUUUUAAUCAUGAAAACAAUAAACUUGACCAAAAUUGACGAGGAUCUUUCAAGUCUUUUUGAGCUCUCUAUCUCUCUUUUUUUGUGCACAUAAUGGAACUAGAAAAUCAACCAAGUGAGCAUAACAGUUCUAAGUUUAACUAUUUGAAUAUUCUUCAGGCAUCAGAACUCCUUUAUUCAUCAACCUCAGCCGGGACAUGGCUAUAUGACACCGAACGCAACCACAUCACAACAUGGUGGCUUCAUUCAACCUGGACCUUCUUUUCCUGCUCCCCGGUAUCCAAUUUUUCAUGUUUAGUAUUUUCUAUAAAAAAAAAUUAGUUUUUCAAUCAGGAAAGAAACAUCAUAGCUUGAACAUGAACCCAACAAGCUAAACAUAUUGUUUGCAAAUGAUUUUGGAUUCAGGAGUCAAUAUUUUUCUAAUCAAGGACAAGUCGAUCAAGCUGCUGUAAUUCCUAACAUGGACAAUGUGCAACAAGAGAACUUCGUGCCUAGGUACUGAGUGACUUCUAGCUGUUGUGUUUUAACACCAUUAACUUUUACUGCUUAAGAGAGACUACCAAUUAUGGAAAGGUUUUAUAAUAUGAUCACUUCAUUUAUAUAUAGGUCAUAGAUAACCUCCAAGUCCGAGGAUUGCGAAAUCAAACUGCUAGGCCAAAUGCCUCAAAUCCUGGCCUUGGAUUGCAAGAUCAAACUGCUAGGCCAAAUGCCUCAAAUCCUGGCCCUGACACCUCCCUGCAAAGUCAAAUUAGGGGUUUAAAUACUCAACAAGUAAGAAGUCUAACUGAAUUAUCGUAGUCUUUUUCCCCUCUAUGAUUGUGCAAUAAAAUACCUAUCAAUUUUAAUAGCAAAAUAAGGGUAACAACACUGAAGUAGUUUCUUAUCCAUCCGGAUAUGGUGUAACUUGAUUCGUUAAUUUUUAUUCCAUAUUUUGACUGAUUUUUAUUCUAUACUUUGACUUCUUUUUUCUCUGUAGGUCGAAAUGGUUGGAUCAAAUGAUCCGUUUUGGAAUUAUAUUGAAAAAAAGUCUGAUGGUAGCAUGGAGUGUAAGUUUUGUCAACAUACAUGGGCCAAUAAAACUUCCAUUUCAAGGUUCAAAUGGCAUUUAUCAGGAGAGGAACGACAUGGUGUUGCCAUUUGUCGUGAGGUGACUAAAGAAGUUCAAGAAGCAGCCUUUCUAGCUAUGUGUUGUGGCAACAAAAGACAUAAAAUCACAGCAAGUUCAAUCAAUGUUAAUGAUUGUGGAAUUUCAACAAUGGUAGGAGGUAUUGGAAGGGUACAAAGAGAAGUUCAGGUUGUAGAACCCGGGGUAGGGGAAGAGAGGAUUUCUUCUCAUGCAAUAGCAGGAAACGACGUAGUAAGCAUGACCGGAAUGUGAGCACAAGAAGAUAGAGUUUUCGAAGGGACACUCGAGAGCAGACUGAGGACAGAACCAGUGGAUCGAGCGUUGGAACAAAGCAAUGCAGUGCUGGAAGGAUACAAGUGGGAGUUCAGGGCAUGGAACAAGGUCCCGGAGAAGAGAGAAUUCAGUCGCAUUUACAAGCGGAAAAUGGCAUGGAAAACACUGGUGAAGGAUCUUUUCGGCAUGAUGCAUUUGCGACUAUACCAGGAACAGAGCAAGUGCAGCUUCUGGAGCCUCGAGGAGAUUCAUCCCAAUUUUGUCUUGACACUGGAAGAUGUUAUGAUCAACCUUGUGCUCCAUCAGUAAACGAUGAUGUAACUAGGCAUGAUGCACUGGACAUGGUUAGAGUGAGGACAGAACCAGUGGAGGAGGAGGAUGCGGAGAAUAAUGGAAGAUCAGUAGUCCAGGCUGGCGCAGGAGCUAGAUCUUCUGAAAGUCUGAAAUACAACAAGACUAGAGGAGUUCCAUUACCUACUAGCUCUAUAAAGCCAGUGGGCCAAGCAUUUAAAGAAAAUACGAAGGUGCUAUGGUCUUUGAUAAUGGACGGUAAAGUCCCAAUCAUUGGCAUUUAUGGGAUGGGGGGAGUUGGUAAAACAACAAUACUGCAACAUAUCCAUAAUGAACUUCUACAAAAACCAGAUAUUUGUGAUAAUGUUUGGUGGGUGACUGUGUCUCAAGAUUUCAGCAUUAAUAGAUUGCAAAAUCUUAUUGCCAAACGUCUUGAUCUAAACCUUUCAAGCGAAGAUGAUGAUCUACUUGGAGCUGCCGAACUGUCAGAAGAACUAAGGAAGAAACAAAAAUGGAUUCUCAUUCUAGAUGAUUUGUGGAACAAUUUUGAGCUACACAAAGUGGACAUUCCUGAGAAGUUGGAAGGAUGCAAGCUGAUUAUGACAACUCGAUCAGAAACGGUUUGUCAUCGGAUGGUUUGCCAGCACAAAAUCAAAGUGAAGCCACUUUCUAAUGGAGAAGCAUGGACUUUGUUCAUGAAGAAGCUUCGACGUGAUGUAGCACUUUCACCAGAAGUGGAAGGAAUUGCGAAAGUUGUUGCAAGGGAAUGUGCUGGUUUGCCAUUGAGAAUUAUUACAGUGAUAGGAAGCUUGAGGGGAGUGGAUGACCUACAUGAAUGGAGAAAUACAUUGAACAAAUUGAGAGAAUCAGAAUUUAGGGACAAGGAAGUAUUCAAGUUAUUGAGGUUUAGUUAUGAUCGGUUAGGUGAUUUAGCACUACAACAAUGUCUCUUGUAUUGUGCAUUAUUUCCUGAAGAUCAUAGGAUUCAGAGGGAGAGGUUGAUAGGUUAUUUGAUCGAUGAAGGGAUAAUUAAAGUAAAGAGGAGCAGGGGAGAUGCAUUUGACGAGGGUCACACGAUGCUUAAUAGACUUGAAAAUGUCUGCCUAUUGAAAAAUGCUAAAAUGAUGCAUGUUGCUUGUAGAUUUGUCAAGAUGCAUGACUUGAUUAGGGACAUGGCCAUCCAUAUACUGCUAGAGAGCCCUCAAUACAUGGUUAAAGCAGGUGCGCAAUUAAAAGAGUUGCCAGAUGCAGAGGAGUGGACGAAGAAUCUGACGAUAGUUUCACUAAUGCAAAAUAGAUUUAAAGAAAUUCCUUCCAGCCAUUCACCUAGGUGUCCCUAUCUAUCAACUCUAUUGCUAUAUCAAAAUCAUGGGUUGGGAUUUAUUGCGGAUUCAUUUUUCAAGCAAUUGCAUGGGCUCAAGGUCCUCGAUCUGUCUUGCACAGGUAUUGAAAAUUUGCCGGAUUCUGUGUCUGAUUUAGUGAGUCUCACUGCAUUAUUGCUCAAUGAUUGUAAGAAAUUAAGACAUGUUCCAUCAUUAAAGAAGCUCAGGGCACUGAAGAGGUUGGAUCUCUUUCAAACUUUUCUUGAUUGGAUGCCGCAUGGAAUGGAAUGCCUAACCAACCUGAGGUAUCUUAGAAUGAAUGGAUGUGGUGAAAAGGAGUUUUCUAGUGGGAUAUUACCAAAACUCUCUCACCUGCAAGUCUUUGGACUAGAGGAAACGUUAAUUGAUCGAAGAUAUGCUCCGAUAACAGUUAAAGGAAAGGAAGUAGGAUCCUUGAGAAAUUUGGAAACUUUGGAAUGCCAUUUCGAAGGUUUCUUUGACUUCAUGGAGUAUCUCAGAUCUCGGGAUGGGAUCCAAUCAUUAAGCACAUAUAAAAUUUUAGUAGGAAUGGUGGAUUAUUGGGCAGACAUUGAUGAUUUUCCAAGUAAAACAGUUAGGUUGGGUAAUUUGAGUAUCAACAAAGAUGGAGAUUUUCAGGUCAAGUUCUUAAAUGACAUUCAAGGACUGGAUUGUGAACGCAUCGAUGCAAGAAGUUUAUGUGAUGUUUUGUCAUUAGAGAAUGCAACUGAACUGGAGGAAAUCAUCAUUGAGGAUUGCAAUAGCAUGGAGAGCUUGGUUUCAUCUUCUUGGUUCAGCUCUGCUCCACCACCAUUGCCAUCAUAUAAGGGUAUGUUUUCUGGUCUUAAAGUGUUUUAUUUUAGUAGAUGUAACAGUAUGAAGAAGCUGUUCCCACUUGUGUUGCUGCCAAAGCUCGUAAACCUGGAAAGCAUUGGAGUUAGUGAGUGUGAGAAAAUGGAGGAGAUAAUAGGAACAACAGAUGAAGAAGAUGAAGAAAGUAGCACCUCCAAUCCCAUCACGGAAUUAACACUCCCAAAGUUAAGAACUCUGGAAGUGCGUGCUUUACCAGAACUGAAAAGCAUUUGCAGUGCAAAAUUGAUUUGCAUUUCUCUUGAACAUAUUAGUGUAACGCGUUGUGAGAAGCUGAAGAGGAUGCCAAUUUGUCUUCCGUUGCUUGAACAUAUUGUUAAUCCUUCCGUUGUAAGAAUACUAAUUGAUUGUAAGCUUAAAUUUGCUCAUAUUCAAUAAUAUAUCAUUCUUUCAAUCAUUUUUGUUAAAAAUCAUGUGCAAAACAUAAUUAUUUUCGAUAUGAAUGAUGAAAAUAAUCCUUUAAAUCAACAAGGAUAUUCUUAUUAAUUUAUAUUGAAAUAGUCAUUCGUCCCUUUGUACCAUUUUUUUUAACUCGAUAGACAAAUAAUUAUAAUUUGAAGUUUGAUUAAUAUUAUAUUUUUAUCCUAUUGAGUUUCUCCAAGAUGAAAAUCCAAAAAAAAAAAAAAUACUAUAUUGAUUUAUCAUUAAAGUAACCUAAUAAAAUAAUAGAUCUAUUCACUAGUAUAAAUCAUCUAAAAUCAUUAACUAGCAAUAAAUUAUUUUUUCAAUAUAUAAUACAGAUUAAAAAGAAUAAAGAGAGAGAGAGAAGACACUUUUAUAAGGAUAUAUUUAGAAUAAAAUUUCAUACCUCUAUCUAUUCUAUUUUCCUCGUACAAAAAUUCAUUCUAUUUUUCUAUAUUUCUCAGGAUUUUUUAAUCUAUAUUUUUAAGUUUUUUCUGUUUUUAUAAACAACAUAUAUAAACAAAAACUAGAAGGAUUGGUUAAUCAAUUCCUCAAGAUUUUUUAAUUUGUAUUUUAAAGUUUUUUCUGUCUUUAUGAACAACAUAAAAAAUAAACUAAAAGAAUUGGUUAAUCCAAAGACGGGUGUUUCUAAAGGUUGUGUUUUUUUUCAUUUGAUGUUAAUAUCAUAGAAAUUGUGAAGGGUGCAAAAGCUAAAUUGUGAAGGGUGCAAAAACUGCAUAUUGCAUCUGGUUGUGAAGGGUGCAAAAACUGCAUAUUGGCGGCAACAAGUGCCUGGUGGUUUUGUCUGAGUAAAAGGGAUAGAUGCUAAGUUAAGAGUUCAAGGAAGAGAGACAAAAGGUGGAAGGGACAAUUGUGUCGAUUGUUGGUUACAUUAUUGUUAAUAAAAAUGUAAGAAUUUAGGAGCAUGAGAGAACAUUUUCACAAUGAAGAUUAAUUCAUCUCCACAGCAGAAUACAGGAAAAAAAAAAUUAAAUCAAUAAAAGUAAGGUAUUUCAUCUCUUCGAACAUUCUUGAAUUCUGGUCAAUUCAAAUCACAACAAACAUCGUAAACAAUGUCAAAAGUAUUCUUCUACCUCAGUGAAUUUCAGUACAACUACUGCACACAAGAUGCUUAAUUCAUCAAAUGCUAAUUCCUGUCUAUCAACUCGGUUUGGGAAAAUAACUGAAAAACUCUGUUAAAUGAGUUCCUGUGGUUUUGAUGAGUCUAUGAAAGUGCAUUCUAUCAUUGGAAUAAAAUGCUAAAAUGUGAAUAAAAAUAAUAGAAAUUAAACAGACAAGUCAAGGCCCAGGAGUCGUGAAAUUCACUUUGAACCAGCCUCCACACACUUGAGUAUCUUAAUCAUAACUUUCCACUCACAUAUCGGAUUGCUGUGAUUCUUGACGCGUUGGAAAGGUAUCUUGAAGGGCUACAAAUUAGCCUCUAAUGAGGAUUUCAAAAAAGGAACUCCUAAAGCAUGUACGUGGCUGCCAAAAAAGUCCUAAAAUCUAGGCAAUUUGUUUCUGACACAACGGGGAUCAUGGAGACGUGAUUUUAGGGAUUUAUGUAGUUUAUGGAUUCACUCAUGUUUCUUCCAUUAAAUGGAUUAAAUCUUUGAUUAUAUUUGGAUCAUUUAUUUAUCUGUAUUGAUUUGAUUUCUUUACUAUAAUAUUGCUCUUAGUAUAUUGUGGUAAUUAAUUUAAUAUAAAAAAUCUAAAUUAGUAGUCUUUGAGGUUACUUAAAUUAAAUAUUGGUGCCUAGCUUUUAUUUAUUUAUUCAUUUAUUUCUAAAUACUGACCUUAAAAAAUUAUUGAAUUUGUAAUUCAACCAAAUAAAAUAUUACCAAUCUAGUUCAUAUCUAGCCAGAUUAAUAAAAAAGGAUAAAAUGAUAUUUACUGUACAAAGUGAUUGUUGGCAAUCAAUUCCUGGAUCAAGAAGAUAAGGUCCAGCCAUGGAGUAUAUACUUGGAUUGAAAAAUAAAAACUAAUAAUCUACAGAAUGGGUUCAUGUUAACUGAGGAUGAGGUCUGAUGCACCUAGCUACCGACUUUAAUAUUUUCAUUUAAGGAAUUGCAGCGUUGUGUCCCGAGGGAGGCCAACAGGCAAAUACUAAUAUCAUUUUUUUAUUUUUUAUUUUUUAUUGUAAAUUUAUUUUUGAAAAAAAAUUAAAUUUUUUAUUUUAAAUUAUUUUUUUAAAUAUUUUCAAAUUAUUUUAAUAUACUGAUAUUGAAAAUAAAUUUUAAAAAAACAAAAAUAUUAUUUUUAAUAUAUUUUUAAAUAAAAAAUAUUUUAAUAAUCAACCGUGAUCUUAAUUUCAAACUGUCAGUGCCCUAUACCAAACUAUAUUAUCAACAAGAUUUUCCUCAGAUGAAUUAAAGCAUUCUGCAUUUGACACAACUUGAAAACAUGUUUCUUCUUAAAUUAUUAUACCUGUGUUUUUUAAAAUCUAAAUAUUUGAGAAUGUGGCCGCUGAAAGCUUACCUGAUCGUUAAAUUCAGGACCCAUAAAAAUUAAUCGAGAUGCACGUACGUAAGCUGGCCCGGACACCUCACGUGAAUAAAAAAAACAAUGCAUCAAUUAAUUAUUAUUUGAGCUGAUUAUUUUAUUUUUAAUUUUAUUUUUAUAGGGAUUUAAGGCUGAUAAUUUGUUUUAAUUAACUUAUUGUGAAGUUCUCAAGGUUAAAAAAAAAAUAUUUGAUUUGAUAAAAUUUUGUUCAGUCUAAUUCAUUAAAAAUAAUUGAAACUUUGAACAUCAAAUAUGAUACUGAAAUCAAAAGGUAGCCUGGUGUGUUUUUCAAAAUUCUGUUUCUAGAGUUUUUGCAUUUUUUAUUUUUAAUUUUGAUUUAAAAUUUUAUUUUAUUCACUUUUUAGUUUAUAAAUUUGAGAUUAAAAAAAAUCACUAAAAACUCGGAAAAAAAUAGAAAAUUAUUGGCCGACAAUUUUGGCAACAAGAAAACACGAUCAUCUUUGUAUUAAUGAAAAACUAGUGUGUAGAUUGGAUAGCAAAUCAUACUUUAUAGGUCGAGGGCUAAAAAUAUAAAUUUGUAAAAGGGUGUUCGAAAAAAAAUAAUUUCCAUGGGUAUGGAAAAGUUCAAUAAGUCCUGGUUGAAGAGGCUUAUAUACGAAACGCCUCAAAAUAAUCCCUGGAGCAGGAGAUUCAAUUAACCGAGAUUCAGGAGAUGAAAUUGCACCUCAACCGUCAAUGGGUUUAGCCAGGGCAUUUAUAACACGACCCAAAUACGCCUCACUCACUGGUAUCUGAGCAAUUUUUCCUGUUGCUUUUACAAAACUUCUCUCUUGUAUCAUCAAGCCGUCACCCAUUAAUACAACACCAACAUUAUUUGAUUCCAAAUUAAGAGCAAUGCCUAUCGUACCCUCUUCAAAUUCUACCAAAUCACCUGCCACAAUGCCGUCACCCACAUGAAGUACAGUCCCAGUAUUUACAAUCUUUACUUCCCUAUUAUAUUGCUCAAUGCUUUCACGGAUAAUACUACUAAUCUCGUCGGCUCGAAUGAUUACCAUGAGUAUUUCUUAUUUUUUUUUUUUGGAAAAAAAAAUAAUGCCUACAGUAGAAGGUCUGAUUGGUGGAAUAACUAUCAUAGAAUAAGAUAAUAUUUGAUGUUGCGACAAUAAUAAUUUUUAAAAAUAUUUUUUAUUUAAAAAUAUAUUAAAAUAAUAAUUUUUUAUUUUUUAAAAUUUAUUUUUAAUAUUAACACAUUAAAAAAUUUAAAAUUAUUUAAAAAAUUAAUUUAAAACAAAAAAAUAUUAACAUACUGUGACAUUAUUGUUAUUUUUUUCGUGGUGUUGUUUGUUCUAGGUAGGGCCGGAAAGGUCACGGAAUGGAGAGUUGCUGCUAACCAUUAACCCAUGACAUGGCUCAAAUGAGUGAGACUAAUUAAAAGUCUGUAAAAAUGUAUCAAGUGACUGUUUGCAAUUAAUAUUUUUGAAUUGUUUUUGGUAUAGAAGUUCUUUUUUAACCUACUCUUAAGGUAAAAUACUUCUCGUCUACUUAAUAAUUCUGUCAUAACUAGCCUCACUCAACCCACAAUCCGACUUGAUGGUGAACUUCUGUGUCACAGCCGACAAUUUACUAUAAUUAAUGCAACCAUUCCAUAAUGGUUCAUCGGAAUCUUUCAAUAGAUAAAAAAACCUGGCCGCAUCUGCAUUAAGUUCUUCUUCUACAAUUGGACAUUGACUAACAUUACCUUAAUUCAUUCUCAUUGCAUCUAUAACCAUAAUCUUGCAAGGAUUACUGUUGUCAUUUACAACUCCAUGCACGUUGCUAGCACUAGAAGUUGACCCAACCAUUCUUUUUAUCAUGCUCUCAUUACGAACAAAUAAUUCUUUGUGUAACCAAUACAAGUAAUCCUCCAUAAACCGGCCACUUGUGUGGAAGAUGCAUCGUUACAACAUCUGGAUGCAUAUACUUUUUAUUUUUACACUUUCUGCGUGGACACCUAAUACUGCCCCCACUAAAAUUUCUCAGAAUAGAUGUUGCAAAAUUAAUAAAACCCUGAACCCCAUUACAAUAAUCCAUCGAUGAACGACCAUCCAUGACCUCUAUAAAAUAAUGAUGACAACAUGUAUUGAUUAAUUAUGUUAAGUAAAUAAAUUUAUAAAAAUAUUGGUUUAACUCGAGAUUAUCCAACAAACUAAUUAAAACUUAUCUUAAAUUUUAAUUAUCAAUUAUCAACGUCCAUACAAAUUUAUACACAUAAAUUUACAUAAAUUACAACUCCGCAAUAGCGUUGAUAAAAAUUAAAACGGAUACAUUAAACAAGCUAUUAUUUAUUUAUUACAACAUAUCUAAUACGGUAAUUCGACAUAAAUUUCAACAAUUUAUAAACAAAUAUAAUUUUACAAAAUCUAAAACAAAACAUAACAAGUACAAAAUUAUACAUUCAUACUACAAGUUUGUUUGAGAAAAAAUUAAAACUUGUACUUACCCUAACAAAAUACAUAUACUAAAAAAAAUUAAAUAAUAAUAAAAUUGACAUUUUAAUAUUAAAAAUAAAAAAUAUAGAUUUACUUAUAAAAAAUAACAAAACCACAAUAAAUCAGAACACGGAUAUUGUGACUACAAAAAAUAAAGAAGAAUUAUUUGUGUUGAGAAGUGAGGGAUGUUUUGGGGGUGGUUAUUUGCAGCUUGGGAGGUGAGAGUUUGUUUAGAUGCAUGUAUGUGGAAGAAGAAGGAGAAAUAGGGGAGGGGAGGUUCGACAACUUGGUGAUAUAUUAACUUUUACCGAUGGAAUCACCGACGAAAAUAUUUUAUCGAUGAUUCCAUCAGUGAUUCUGACGGUAAAGGGGUCAUGUCACUGUACGGAGAUCCUGGUUUGAAUCCCUCGGUAAUUUCGUCGGUAAAAUCACUCGCAAAAUCUUCCACGUCAAUGACCUGCUUUUUUUUCUUUCAAAAUUCUAUAUAUUUCGUUCGUAAUUCUAUCGGUAUAUACCGACAAACGUAUUCCGUCAGUAUAUACCAACGGGUUUACUGAUUGAUUUACAUCCGUCGGUAAUUAUUACCGCAAAUUACCGAUAGAAAAAUAUUGUCGAUAAUUCCGUUGGUUUUAGUCGAAUUUCUAGUUGUGAUAUUGAUUUGGUGAAAUUUGAUCGAUUCAAUCAAACCAAUCUAGUUCAUAUCUAACCAUAUUAAUAAAAAAAAGAAUGAAAUAAUAUUAUUUUAAUAAAAAUAAUUAUUCUGAAUUAACUUAAUAAAUGACUUAUAAGUUAUUAAAUAUCUGGUGCUAUAUUAAAAAAUUAACUUAAUAAAUGACUCAUAAGUUAUUGGCAAAAUACAGGUAUAAUCGGAGUACACCAUGUUGUCAAAAAGACACAAGUCUUGAAUUUUACUUUUAUUCUUGUUUUUUUUUAAAAAAUUGGAAAGGCAGGUAUACUAUCAAUAUUUUUUUUUUUUUACUUUGUAUGCUUUCCUCUGUUGCUAAUAUCCACCUCAGCAUGUACCAUCUGGUUAUAAACACCUUGGGUAAAUCAAGAUAUAAUAGAAAAACAUUCACUGUAGUUUGUCUCACAAAAAUUUCAUGGUUUUUGUCCUUUAUAACUUGAUAGAUACGAGGCAAGGAGUUAGGAGGUAGUAGCUUUUAUUUAUUUAUUCAUUUAUUUCUAACUACUGACCUUAAAAAAAUAUUGAAUUUGUAAUUCAACCAAAUAAAAUAUUGAUUUGGUGAAAUUUGAAUGAUUCAAUCAAACCAAUCUAGUUCAUAUCUGGCCAGAUUAAUAAUAAUAAAAAAUGAUAUUGACUGACUAGAUUAUUUGGUAUAACAGCAGUGCACCAUGCUGCCCAAAAGACACAGUCUUAAUUUUAUUUUUCCCUUUUUUUUUUGAAAACCGGGAAGGCAGGUAUACUAUGAUUGACUUCGGCAGUCGGUAGGAAUUAUUUUUUAAAGCAUUUUUUUUCAUGUGUAAAUAUAUUAAAUAAUUUUUUUAUUUUUUAAAUUUAUUUUAAUAUUAAUGUUUCAAAAUAAUUCAAAAAUAUUAAAAAAAUUAAUUUAAAAUAAAAAAAAAUCAAGUUUUUUUUAAAAACAUGAUUCCACUGUGAAAUUAUUAUUAUUUUUGCCGGGGAGUUGGUUGUUCUACGUAGGGUCGGAAAGGUCACGGAAUGAAGAGUUGCUGGUAACCAUUAAUCCAUGACAUGGCUUAAAUGAGUAAGGCUAAUUAAAAGUAUGUAAAACUGUAUCAAGUGACUAUUUGUAAUUAUUAUUUUUGAAUUGUUUUUACGUGGUAAUAUAAAAAAAAUUAAAAAAAUUAUUAUUGAGCUGACCUUACUAAUAAAUAGUAUUAUUUAAGGGAGCUAGCGGCUGUAACGUUCUCUUCCACAUCUCAUCUCAUUAUACAAUUCCCUAUUUUCCUUUCCCCAUCUCAUGAUCUGUGAUUUCUCUUCUUCUUUUUUUCUAAGCCAUAUAUUUUUCUAAGCCAUAUAUUCUUCUCUGAUCUGUGAUUUCUCUUCUUCUUUUUUUGGCUGAAUACUGGUCAAGCGAACCAGCACAUCUUGAAUCCAGGUUAAUUAUUUGUACUUCAUCUUGUUGGUGUUUUUGUUUUUAUAUUUGUAACUAUGGUUUGAAUCUUUAAAGGAAUCCAUGAUAAAUAAAUUGAUCUUUUUCUCGGAUUUUAUAAUCCAUGCCUUGUGGAGAGUUCAUACUAAAUCAAUACUGAAUUCAUUGUUUUCGUCUUUUCAAGAUUCUUUGCUGUUUUUAACUCCUUAUUUUAGAUUCACCCUUUUCUUUUCCAAUUAAUGGGACUGCCAUUCAUUUUUAUUCAAUAUUUUUCAACUUUUUUUUUUCUUACAAUGAUUCAAUGAAUUAACUUGAUCAAUAAUUACCUGAAUCUUUUUGAACAAAACAAUAUCCUAUUAUUUUUGUGUCUGUUUUAUAAUGUGUAACUAAGGGUUAAAAUAGAGGAAAUUGAUUUUUGAAAUUAACAAAAAUAAUCUUGCUUUCGUUUUGCUCUUCUACUUUCCUUCCCUUGCUUUCUUCAACAGUUAUCCUGCGUCUUUCUAUCUAUCAUUCUAGAGUUUUAGGAUCUCGUGUCAUAUAAAGAAUUUGAGUAUGAUAAUUUAGCUACAAAGACAAAGGAUUAAAUCAUUAACAACAACAUUUAUAUUUCAUAUUUUUCAUCCGAAUUUCUUUAACAAACAAGAAAGUCAUUCAUAUAUAUAUAUAUAUAUAUAUAUAGAUAGAUAGAUAGAUAGAUAUUCUUUUCUGAUCUGUGCUUUAUGUUCUUUUUAGACCUCAGUUUUUUAUGUCUUUUCUGAUCUUUUCUGGUCAGAUGGAAGGGUUCCAACCAUCUUUUAUGGAGGAGGUUGACAACAUGACAUGGGAUCAGCUGGGUUUUCAAUCAGAAGAAGAUACAUUCAAUAUGUCUGAGCUUCUCUCGUACGUCAUUCUUGAGCAUAUUUUAUCGGAAGAUGAUUGCUUGCAAUUUAGUUAUUCUUCAGUUUAUCCUAUCAUUCCCAAAAAAACAAUAUAAUGUCGUCACUGUCCAUGGAAGCAGGCUGCCACCGGAGGUUCCAGUCAACCAAAGCUCCAUAUCAUGCAAUGAUCAAGGUGGACAGAACAAUGUGAUCAACGAUAGUAUUCAACAAACAACUCCGUUUCCAACUUCAUUUCCUGAAACAGUGGUGAGUACUCCAAUUUGCUACAAUGCCCAUUGAAUUAGCAAGUGUUUGUAUUAUACAAAAAGUGUUUGCAUUUUUGUUUUUAAUUUCAUUUGAUAAUUUAUUUCAAUAAACUUGUUAUGGAGCUCUUGUGGUCUAAGAAGAAGAAACAAUUCAAUGUAGAGUUGAUGUUUGACUUAACAAGAUUUUGUUCAAUUUAAUUGAUUAAAAAUAAGUGAAAUUUUGACCGUCAAAUUUGAUAUUAAAAUUUUGAAGAUAAAUAUUGAAGACUGAAUUUGAUAUUAAAACUAAAAAUAAGUAGAAAGUUUUUACAAAGGUAAAUGUUAUGAAAAGAUCGAAAUUGCUAUCCAACUGGUGUGCAGAUUGGAUAGCAAAUCAAGCUAUGUUGAAGUCUUCUACUGCAGUGAAGCUCCCUCUGGUUGCUUGAAGCUAAUGCCUGAUUGUUGCGUUCCUGGGUUUUGAUAAGUGUAUGAAAGUCUAUUUUAUUGUUUUUGUGUUUUAAAAAUAUUUUUUAAAAAUUAAUUUUUUAUUUUAAAUUUAUUCUAACUCUUUUGUUUUAUCAUUCUCAAAGUCCAAACAACAACGGUACUGUCAAGAUUGUUAUGCUUAUGCCCGCAAUCGAAACAUAAUUUGUUUUUGUACUCAGAGUUAUGUUUAUUAAAAAAUCUGGUUAUUUUAAAAAAUAUAUUAAAUUAAUGUUCCAAAGUUUAGUAGUUAAGAAAUGUAUUCCAAAGUUUAGUUUACUGGUUGACUCACAUAUUAACUGAAUAACCUGAGUAAAAAAAGAAAACCACAUCAUAUUAUGAUGGUGUUUAUUAAAAAAACUAAAAUAACAAUUUUUUUUUAAUAUUAUCUUCUUAAAUAUUUUUAUUUUAAAAUUUUUUCACAUAAUUGUAGAUAAAAAAAAAAUUGUUUUAAUUUAGCAACGAUAGAGCAUCCACAAGAAAGAUAUUAUACGGUUAUUAAUUUUCAUUAAAAGAAAAGCUAAGAGACUUGGGAGAACUACUAUAUAUCCACACCUAUUUCAUAAAUUACAAUAGUACGUAAUUCAAGGUGUUUUGCCUUUUUUGUUUUGUUUUUUUAAAAUUUCUUUUUGUUUAUUUUAUAAUAGGCUGGUUAUAAUUCAGCUUUAAUUUAUUAAUUUUUAUUCUAUUUUUUUAUAAGAUUAACGUAAUUUAUAGGUUUGUUAAAAUAACUUAAAUUAUAGUUUUCAGAUUUGGUGGGAUAUUUUUUUGUUUAUUAAUUAAAAGAAAAACUAAAAGGUGUAAGAGAAUCACUAUUUACCCACACUCAUUUCAUUAUGGAUUACAAUAGUAAUCUAUAGUGUUUUGUCUUUUCUGUUUUUUUUCCUUUCCUUUCCUUUUUUUUUAUCAUUUUUAAAAAUAAGUUUUUGUCUAUUUCAUAUUUGGGCCGAAUUAGCAUAUAUAUAUAUAUAUUGGGUUAGUGUUUAAUUUUACAAGUAUAAGUAUCUAUUUUUGUUAUCAUAUUAUUAAAAAAAAAUAAUUUUUUAAAAAAGUAUAAUCCUAGUUAAAUCCAUAACCUUGUUCAUGGGUUUGAUGUGCUAGCCCAAGUUACCUGAUUCACGAGUUUGACAGGUUUAUCAAUUGAUCGAAUAUGUUUUUUUUUUUGUUUCUGGUCUUUUAAUUUUUUUAAUUGAUUUUUUUUUUAAUUUUGUCCUUCAAUAUUAGAUUGGUUUGGAAAUAGACUAAAUGAUUUAUUUUUAUUUGCUUUCUAUAGGGUUAUCAAAAUCUUAAAUAAAUAUUUAUUUUAGGGAUGAUACUCAAUUUUAUGAGCAUUUAUUUUUAUCAUAUAAUUAAAUUAAAAAAAACUUAAAAAAAUUACUAAACCCAAUAAAAUCCAUGACCCAAGUCGCGAGGGACCGGGAUCGAUCAAAUUUGUCAUUGUUUCAAUAUUUUUUUUAAAAAAAAAAAGUUGUUGUCUAGAAGUUUUUUUAAAAAAACUAAGCCAUGCUUUACUAGUUUUCUAAGUUGUAUUUAGAUAUUAAUUGAUUUAAAUUGAGUUAAUUUCCAUACAAUUUAAUUAAAAACUUAAAUUAAAUAAAAAAUUAGAUUAAAAGAUUUUAAUAUCAACUCCCCUAACCAGGUUUAAUAAUAUCGCCAACAAACUUUCUUCACUCUUAACAUUUUAUUUUUAUAUUUUAAAAAAAUUAAUCCCCUAAAAAAAACUAUGACAUAUUAUUGAGUGUAGGUUUUGUUUAUUAAGAGUAAGGAUUGAGUCUUUGACUGCAUGUAAUGGCAUCGACUGAAAACCUUUAAUCACAUGCUAUUAAUCACAUAUUUAAUCUGUUAUUGUUAGAGCACAUGCUUUUCAAAAACUUUGAAUUUUUUCUUUUUAAAUUAUUAUUUUUUUAUUAAAAAUAAAUUUUAAAAAAUAAAAAAAUUAUUAUUUUAAUUAUUUUAAAUAAAAAAUAUUUUAAAAAGAAAAGUAUAUUAUUGUUUCUCAUAUUCAUGUGUUUACAUUUUCUAGGCAUCUUCUUCUAAGCUUCAUAAUUGGGUAGGUAAAGUAGUGUUUUCAACUCCUUAUUUUAGAUUCACCCUUUUCUUUUCCAAUUAAUGGGACUGCCAUUCAUUUUUAUUCAGUAUUUUUCAACUUUUUUUUUCUUCUUACAAUGAUUCAAUGAAGUAACUUGAUCGGUAAUUACCUUACAUUAAACAAAAUAAGAAUAAUUAAAAUAUCAAAUGUGUUCAUUAAAGUAGCAGGAGAAAUCGCUAUAUAGCCAUCCGAAAAGGAAAAGUUAAAGAUUGCAGGUUUGCUGCUCAAUUCAACUAAAUAUUUUGAAGUUAGAACUCGUUUGUUUUUUUUGUUUUAAAAAUAUUUUUUAAAAAAUAAAUUUUUUUAUUUGUUUUAAAUUAAAAAUUUUUCUAUUUUUAAAUUAUUUUGAUGUGUUGAUCUCAAAAAUAAUUUUAAAAAAUUAAAAAAAUAUAUAUCAUUUUAAUAUAUUUUCAAAUAAAAAAUACUUUAAAAAACAAUUAUUAUUACAUUCUCAUAAUUUUCGCUUUAAGAGUAAACUUCACUUUUGCUCCUAUAAAUACACCAACAUUUCACUUCUACUCCUAUAGUUUUAUAUUUCUCAUUUGAUGCUAAAAGUUUUCAAAAUGUUUCAAUAUUACCCAUUCCAUUUUUUUCCUACCACAUAGAUAAGAUAAUAUUGAAUAAUUUCAAGCUGUAGGGUCAGAGUUUGAAUCCUCAUCGAUCUACAAGUAUAAACAUGCUAUAAUUUACCCUUGCUGUCUUUUCCCAAACUAAGUUAUUUUGAAAUCCUAUAUCUUAAAAUGAGGCAUUUUAAUGUGUUCAAGGGAUUCCGACUAUCCAUCUGCUGUUUGUAGAAUUUAAGCACUUUUUUCAUUAGUCACUUUUAUUAAAUCAUUUAAUAUUUGCGUUUAUUCUUUUAAUUUGCUUCAAUGUGGAAUCGACACUCCAGAGAAUGUGAGAUUAUUUUCUUGAGGCUUUCUGCCCUCUCUCUAGUAAACUAAAAAACAGCAACGGUACUGUCAAGAAUGUUAUGCCCGCAAUCAAAACAUAAUUUAUUUUUAUACUCAGAAUUAUGUUUUUGUACUCAGAAUUAUGUUUGAGGGCAUUUGAAAGUCUGUUUAUUUUGAAAAAAAUAUUAAAUUAAUAUUUUUUGAUAUAUUAAUAUUAAAAAUAAUAAAAAAAAAGCUUUUCUUUUCUUAGAUUCACUCUUUUCUUUUCCAAUUAAUGGGACUGCCAUUAAAAUAUGCUUUUCACCAUUUAUUUGUUUUUCUUUUAUUUUGACUUACGUAACGUGUGUACCCAGUAAUCCACUCAUAUAUAUAUAUUUUCUUUGCUAUGUGCUUUCUGUUCUUUUUUCACCUCAGUAUGUACUAAUCAUCUUGUACUUUUGGUCAGAUGGAAGGGUUCCCACCAUCUUCUAUGGAUGAUCUUGAAUCACUAUUUCUCUCGUACGUCAUUCUUAAACAUAUUUUAUCAGAAGAUUAUUGCUUGCAAUUUAGUUAUUCUUCCGUUUAUCCUAAUAUAUUAUUCCAUGGAAGUAGGCCGGCACCGGAGGUUCCAGUCAACCAAGGCUCCAUAUCAUGCAAUGAUCAAGGUGGACAUAAGAAUGUGAUCAACGAUAGUAUUCAACAAACAACUCAGUUUCCAACUUCAUUUCCUGAAACCAUGGUGAGUACUCAUGCUUACUCCAAUUUGCUACAAUGUCCAUUGAAUUAGGCAUCAUUAUUCCUUUAUUCAUCAACCUCAGACGGGACAUGGCUAUAUGACACCGAAUGCAACCACAUCACAACAUGGUGAAUUCAAUCAACCUGGACCUUCUUCUCUUGCUCCCUGGUAUCCAAUUUUUCAUGUUUAGUAUUUUCUGAAAAAAAAAAAAAAGUUUUUCAAUCAUUAUUUAACUUCUUCUUCUUCUUCCUCUUGUUGUUGUACUUAUCAGUGAGUUCAUUAUGUUUGAAUAUAUAUAGGUAUCGGCCUAAUCCUAAUUUAUUUGAUCCUCAAUGUGCCAAUCCUUUGAGGUAAGCUAAAAUGAUAUCUUAGUAGAUUAAUAGCAAAGAAUUAUGCAUAUGUAUAAAGAAAUUACUAACAAGUGUUGCUAAUUUAGGGACCAACAAUUGACUAAUUAUCAGUUACCAAUGAGCAAUCAAGUGCCUGCGAUGCUACCUGGACCUCAACCUCCAAGGAAUCAAUGGUAUUAACCUCGAAUAUAUCUACACUUUUUUAAUCAUGAAGACAAUAAACUUUUGAAGUCUGUUUGAGCUCUCUAUCUAUCUUUUUUUGUGCACAUAAUGGAACUAGAAGAUCAACCAAGUUAGAAUAACAGUUCUAAGUUUAACUAUUUGAAUAUUAUUCAGGCAUCAGUACUCCAAUAUUCAUCAACCUCACACCCGGACAUCGCGGCGACCAAUUAAAAAUUAUCUUGCAUGGAAAGAACGGAUUUCUGGCAUCCUAUUCUUCGAUGGUGAAUGGUCUUUGUUUAAGGAGUCGCCACCUAGUAUUACGGUUACUAGGAACCCUAACUGGUCAACAGAGAUUCUAUGGUCCGAGACUGGUUACGUAAAAGGGAAGAUAUUAUCACCCCUUAAACGUCCUGCCUAAGGCAGGCUGCAUUGCUGAUCUUUGUAAUUAAUUGCUAACAUUUUUUUUUGUUGGUUUAUACUAUGAUUGUUUGUGUGUAAUAUUCCUGGCUCUGGCGCCAGUGAAUAUUCAACUACAGAUAUUUCCAACUCUGGCGUUGGUAAAUAUUACGUAGGUAUGAAAAUAAAUAAAUUUAAAUCAUCAUUUUUUUUAUUCCUGACUCUGGCGUCAAUGAAUAAACAAAUAAAAUCAAUUUUUUUUUUACGCAAUCGCAUUAUUUUUAUUUUUAUGUAGCUAAAAAAAAACAAAAUAAAAUAAAAUAAAUUUACAUUAGUAUCUUUAUUCCUGACUCUGGCGUCAGUGAAUAAACGAAUAAAUUUACAUUAGUAUCUUUAUUCCUGACUCUGGCGUCAGUCAAUAGUUUUAUUCUGACUCUGGCGUCAAUGAAUAAAAACAAUAAAUUCAUAUUUAUUUUUUAUUUAUACAUACACACUUCCUUUUUUAUUAUGUAUUUUUUAUUUUUUAUCUUUUUAUUUUUUUAUUUACAUUUUUGGGCUGGGAUUAGUCACUGGCUCAAAUCAGUACCAAGUAGCAGGCGUGCAUGACAGCGCACGCCUGCUACAGAAACAAAGGAAUUGUAAAAGUAAAAUUCACUGCUACAGUAGCAUGUGAAUUAUAAUUCACAGCUACUGUAGCAAAGCAAAUGAAAUAUAAGGCAACAGAGAAGAACAAAGGAACUUACCUGAUGCGCGGAGACGAAGUCGAAGACGAGGGUAAUGGCGUGCUCUGGUCCUUGCUUCUGUUUUUCUUCUCUGGUUUUCGGGUCCUUAUUCUCUGGUUUUUCCUUCCCCGGCCUCUGCUGCGCUGCUGUUGUUGUAGUUGCUGGUGCAGAAGGAAGAAGCUUGUUGCUGUUGCCAGGGGAAUUAAUCCUGUUUUCUUUGCAGUUCACGGCUGAGAAGACAAAAUGUCAUUGCAACGUGCUGCUGGAAUGAAUAUUAACUGGGGGCUGCUACGGGAAGAAGAGAGGAAAAAAAGCUGGGGGGGGACUCGGCCGCGCUUUUUUUUUCUUUGUAAAUGUCUUUUUUUAUGUUUUUUUUAGGUUUCUGGUAAUGGCCUUCUUUUGGUUUUUUUUUUCUUUUAGGGUUUCUCUCUAAUCCUCCCUCCUCUAUUCGCAUAGACUGGGAUCAGUAUUUAUAGUGUAAGAGUCCUAUCGCUUGUAAGAAGUAAAGUCUCAAUCAAACUCAUUUUCUUUUUUAAAUUCAAAUUAGAAUCGAAUUCGAAAUCAUACAACUUUCAUUAUCUUGAAGGUAAGGAUUAUCUUGAAAAUAAGGAUCAUUUUGAAAGUAAGGAUUAUCUCAAAGAUAAGGAUAGAAUGGCAAAAGCACAUUAUAGUCCUUAAUUUUCAUGCAAGUUGACAAAUCACACUUUUCAUCGAAAUAAGUCUCUGAUCUUUUAAUUUUACAUUUUAAACCCUGUAAAAAUUAAAUUAAAAGCCAAUGGGCCAAAAUUGGGUUAUGACAGUUGCCCCCUCUUUAUAAUAUUUACUAUGCAAUGAUAUUAGAAAAUUUCAUUUUCUUUUAGCUUUGUGUAGUAAAUUUAUAAAGAAAAUUAGAUACAGAAAGAAAUUUUGCUUCUUUUUUAUUUUUAUUUUUAGUUUUGAAAACUUUGAAAAUAGUAGAUUGACACAUGACCUUUACAGAGAGAUGUAGAAAUCAAGAAACAAAUGAUUUGGGAGACGACCCUUUUUUUUUUUGAAAUGGAUCAAAUUGUUUUAGGCAACCUGCCCAAUGAUAAAAGAAACGCGAAGAAUUUCGCGAGUGGUCUAAUUGUUCCAGGCGACCUGCCCAGUGAUUGAAAAAUACGAGGAUUUUUUUUUUUGUGAUGGUAUAUUGUAAUGGGUUACCGGCCCAGAUGGUCACAUUGUAAUGGGUUACCUGCCCAGUAUAGGAUGGUAUAUUGUAAUCGGUUACCGGCCCAGAUGGUCACAUUGUAAUGGGUUACCUGCCCAGUAUAGGAUGGUAUAUUGUAAUGGGUUACCGACCCAGAUGGUCACAUUGUAAUGGGUUACCUGCCCAGAUGGUCACAUUGUAAUGGGUUACCUGCCCAGUGGAUGAUAUAUUGUAAUGGGUUACCGACCCAGAUGGUCACAUUGUAAUGGGUUACCUGCCCAGUUGGUCACAUUGUAAUGGGUUACCUGCCCAGUAUAGGAUGGUAUAUUGUAAUGGGUUACCGACCCAGAUGGUCACAUUGUAAUGGGUUACCUGCCCAGAUGGUCACAUUGUAAUGGGUUACCGGCCCAGUUGGUCACAUUGUAAUGGAUUUUUCAGAUGGUUACAUUGUAAUGGGUUACCUGCCUAGUGGAAAAAUACGAGGAUUUUUUUUUCUAAGACAUGAUAGGGCUCGAAGGCGCAUUAUUCAAUAGAUGGAAGCUCGAAGGAAAUGAGGGCUCGAAGGCGCACUCAAAAGGAGGUAGGAUAGGAAAUGCAGUACCUUUGAUAGUCGAGGGCUCGAAGGCGCUCUCGAAAUGGAGAUAAGACGAGGGCUCGAAGGCGCGCUCGAAUGGAGAUAAGACGAGAGCUCGAAAGCGCGCUCGAAUGUAGAUAAGACGAGGGCUCAAAGGCGCGCUCGAAUGGAGAUAAGACGAGGGCUCGAAGGCAUUCUCGAAUGGAGAUAAGACGAGGGCUCGAAGGCGCGCUCGAAUGGAGGUAGGAUAGGAAAUGCACUACCUUUGAUGGUCGAGGGCUCGAAGGCGCGCUUGAAAAGAAACAAGACGAGGGCUCGAAGGCGCGCUCGAAUGGGGAUAAGACGAGGGCUCGAAGGCGCGCUCGAAUGGAGGUAGGAUAGGAAAUGCACUACCUUUGAUGGCCGAGGGCUCGAAGGCGUGCUCGAAAAGAAACAAGACGAGGGCUCGAAGGCACGCUCGAAUGGGGAUAAGACGAGGGCUUGAAGGCGCGCUCGAAUAGAGAAUGGAAGGUGGUGGGAAAAUACAGAUAUUUUUCAGGUGGCCUAAUUUUCAUGGGCGGCCUGCCCAGGUUGAAAAAUUCUCAAAAGUGAAAAUUUUUCAAAAGCUAUUUCAAUGUUCUCCAUUUCAAGUUGGCCUUCCGCUUGAUGGAUUCUGUUAGAAUUUUCUCUAAUAAAAUUUACAACACUCAUUGUCCAAUGUCUCAAAGUUUAAAUGAUAUGCAUGCAUCUUUACCUGAUUUGAAAUAUAGGCCCCCCAUUUCUUCUUAGUCUUCUCGUUGCUUGGUUGGUGAGAUCUUGCUAUCUCAUUUGAGUCAUCUUUGUCGUUUGGCUUUCUAGCCCACUCGAGUUAGCCCAUGUAAGUUUAUUUCCAGAUUUGUUUACAUAACUCAGCUUUUGCGGUGCCCAUCGUGACCCACUUGCUUGCUAGAGAUUUUCUAAUCUCGUCAAAUAAUUUGAGAGGAUUAUUCAUUACCCCUCGUCUCACUGCUAAAAACAUUCGGUAUCACUUGCUGAAAGGAUCGAGCUGUCUUUUAUAAACCAAAAUGCCCCCUUGUCUUGUUGUAAGGGAUGAUAGAUUUUCCUUAAACACAAUAUUGCCCCCUUGUCUUGUUGUAAGGGAUGAUAGAUUUUCCUUAAACACAAUGUUGCCCCCUUGUCUUGUUGUAAGGGAUGAUAGAUUUUCCUUAAACACAAUGUUGUCCCCUUGUACUGAUCAUUGCCCCCAAGUGUGUUAUGUCACUGACUUAGAUGAAUAAUGGUUUUAAGAGGCCAUUCUCUCAUUUGGUGAAGGAAUAUGGGUCUAGAAUGAAUCUUGAAAUCUUGAUCUUGCCUUUUGACAACAAAAAUUGUUUUGAUAUGAAUUUAAAACAAUUUACUUUUGAAAUCUUGCAACUCCUUGGUUAUUAUCUUUCUUGGAAAAGAGAUUAUUUGCUCUUGUGUUUGGUAAUGAGGUCUUUGAUGAAAAUACAUCAUGAGAUGACCUUUUGUUUCAAAGUGAAGGGCUUGAGCAAAAGCUCGAGGUUUUGUACGAGAAAAAAAACUUGUCUUUUUUUUUAACAUUUAUUAUCAACAUGAAUAAUAAUGAGUAGUUCUUUCUUGAUGUCAUGAAUCUUAUAAAAAAAAUAUUCUUUGCAUUUUGAGAGCAUUGUUUAUUGUUCUAGGUUGCUUGCUUCCUUGAUUAGAAAGGACUUCUAUAGGCACGUAACGUAGGCUGUGGUUUUUGGCUAUGAAAGAAAAGGAUUCAUAAGGCUCAAAGAGUGUUUCAGGGUUUCAAAGACUGAAGAUCACGAUCAAUAGUUUGACUUUUGACGUCAUUCAUAUUUUCUUUUGCCGCUCUUCUUUGAUUUGCUGCUUCUUUUUUUCUUUUUCAUUGCUUUGCUAGAGCAUACUCACUUUAUCUUGGUUAUCAUUUUUUCUUGUGAUUUGGGCAUGCCCUCUAGCAUUUGAGUUUUUUGGGCUCUUUUGCCUUUUGGCUUUCUCACGGCUCUAUCCUUUUUCUUGAUUAUUGAAAUUUCACUUGCCCCCUUUUUUUUUGUGAUGUGGGCAUGAUUCCUAGCAUUUGAGUUUCUUGGGCUCUUUUGCCUUUUGGCUUUCUCACGGCUUUAUCAUCCCUCUUGAUCAUUGAAAUUUCACUUGCCCCCAGUGUAGGGUGUGAUCUUAGUCGGAAUUUUUUUAUGAAAGAAAAAAUAAAUAAAUAAAUAAAUUCUUCAAGCUCAAAAAGGGUUUGCAAGGAUGUACUUAUUUUAGAACGUAAAAGGAAUAACAAAGAUAGCCUUUCCUCAUUUCAAGCGCAAGCAGCUAUGAUUAAUAAACUUUGACCUCGUAUAAUGUGAUGGUUUAUUCUUUGCAAAGAUGCAUUUGGUGAGUUAUGAGCAACAAGUUCACUACAUACCAUUAUUCAUACAUUUAAAAACACAUGAUUCAAGAGUAAUGGGGUAAGGGUGUUUAUUCUUUUUUUUUUCACAAUUGUUUUUAUAAUUUAGUCACCUCAAUGAUGGAGUUGCUUGAUUCACUUGUCAUUCUACAAGUAGAAUGUCAAAAAUAUCAUUUUUGAAUAAACAUCAAAUUAUUUUUUGAAAUCAAAAUGCCAGAUCAAUUUUUUUCAUCCUAUUGGAGUGGGAGCAUCCUAACGCAAAGGAUGUCCUUCGUCCCUUUAUAUCUUUUUUUUAACUUGAAUGAUAAAUAAUUAUGAUUUGAUGUUUGAUUAAUAUUAUAUUAUCAUCCUAUUGAGUUUCUCCAAGAUGAAAAUCCAAAAAAUAAAAAAAAAAUACUAUAUCAUAAAUCAUCAGUGAAAGUAUUCUUCUACACAUUUUUAAAAUGUCCAAGAGAGAGUAUGAAUAUGGCAGAUUGAAGUUUGUGAGUGUAGGAAAAUGGAGGAGAUAUUCUUCUCUUAAAGAACUCUGAGAUUGGAUUGGUUACCAGAACUGAAAAGCAUUUACAGUGCAAAACUGAUUUGCAAUUCUCUUCAUCCCUUUGUACCUUUUUUUUUAAAACUCGAUAGACAAAUAAUUAUAAUUUGAAUUUUGAUUAAUAUUAUAUUUUCAUCCUAUUGAGUUUCUCCAAGAUGAAAAUCCUAUAUUGAUUUAUCAUUAAAGUAACCUAAUAAAUGUAAUGUUUUUUUUUUUCUUGAAAACAGCUUGGAUGCACUCAAGUAUUUUAAUCACAACUUUCCACUCACAUGUCAGAUUGUUGUGAUUCUUGACGCGUUAUCUUGUUUGUAAACGUUGUGUUUUUAAAAUUUUUGAUUUGUUUUAAAUAAUUUUUUUAUAUUUUUAAAUUAUUUUAAUAUAUUAAUAUUAAAAAUCAUUUUAAAAAAUAAAAAAAUAAUUUAAUAUAUUUUUAAAUAAAAAAUAUUUUAAACCACAACUACUCCUUCUUCCAACUGGGAAACUCCUUCUUCCAACUGCUUCCCAGGCUUAAAAAAAAGUCUCGACGAGGAUUUCAAAAAAAGAACUAAAGCAUGUACGUGGCUGCCAAAGAAGUCCUAAAAUUUAGGUUUUUGAUGAAAACGUGUGGGACACGUGAUGAAAAAGGGGUUUAAAAGUGGUUUGCCCAUAAAGAAGACGUGUGGGAAUUGCAGUAAUGUUUAUGGAUUAAGAAAAGAAAAAGGGAUUAAUGUAGUUUAUGGAUUCAGUAAUGUUUCUUCUAUUAAAUGGAUUAAUUGUUUGAUUAUAUUUAUUUAUCUGUAUUGAUUUAAUAAAAAGAACUCCUAAAGCAUGUACGUGGCUGCCAAAAAAGUCCUAAAAUUUACUCAAUUUAUUUUUAAAAAAAUUAAUUUUUUAUUUUAUUUUUUUAUUAACUUUAAAUUAAUAUAUUUUUAGUGUUUUCAAAUUAUUUUGAUGUGCUAAUAUGAAAAAUAAUUUUUUAAAAAUAAAAAAAAUUAUUGACAUGUAUUUUGGUAUGAAAAGUUAUUUGAAAAGCAAUAAUAAUUACAUUACUAAACAAGCUAAAAAAUGUGGAAAUUGCACCAGAGAAGGAAAAAAAUACAAGAAAAGAAAAGGGAUUAAUGUAGUUUUUUCUGUUAAAUGGAUUAAUUGUUUGAUUAUAUUUAGUUCAUUUAUUUAUCUGUAUUGAUUUAAUUUUUUUACUAUAAUAUUGAUUUAAUAAAAAGAACUCCUAAAACAUGUACGUAGCUGCCAAAAAAAUCCUAAAAUUGACUCAAUUGGAAAGGAUCAUGGUGCUUACUGCCAAGAUUGUUAUGCCCGCAAUCAAAACAUAAUUUGUUUUUGUACUCAGAAUUAUAUUUGAGUGCAUUUAAAAAUUUGUUUAUUUAAAAAAUAUAUUAAAUUAAUAUUUUUUAAUAUAUUAAUAUUAAAAUAAAAAAAAUAUUUUAAAGAGAAAAAAAAAAUAUUUGACAAAGAAUAAAUAGAAAACUUACAAAUAGUUAAGAGUCAUAUUGGAAAGUAUAGUUUAGGUUUUUGAUGAACUAAAGCAUGUACGUGGCAGCCAAAAAAGUCCUAAAAUUUAGGUUUUUGAUGAAAACGUGUGGGACACGUGAUGAAAAAGGAGGUUUAAAAGUGGUUUGCCCAUAAAGAAAAGAAAAGGGAUUAAUGUAGUUUAUGGAUUCAGUAAUGUUUCUUCUAUUAAAUGGAUUAAUUGUUUGAUUAUAUUUAUUUAUCUGUAUUGAUUUAAUAAAAAAAACUCCUAAAGCAUGUACGUGGCUGCCAAAAAAGUCCUAAAAUUUACUCAAUUGAAAAGGAUCAUGGUACUGCCAUGAUUGUUAUAUGCCCGCAAUCAAAACAUAAAUUUGUUUUUGUACUCAUAAUUAUGUUUGAGUUCAUUUAAAAAUCUGUUUAUUUAUAAAAUAUAUUAAAUUAAUAUUUUUAAUAUUUUUUAAUAUAUUAAUAUUAAAAUAAAAAAAUAUUUUAAAGAGAAAAAAAAAUAUUUGACAAAGAAUGAAUAGAAAGCUUACGAAUAGUUAAGAGUCGUAUUGCAAAGUAUAGUUUACCAGUUGACUCACAGAUUAACUGCUUAACCCCAUCAUAUUAUUUAUUUAUAAAAACUAAAAUAAUUAUGUUUUUUUUAAUAUUAUCUUUUUUAAUAUUUUUAUUUUAAAAAAGUUUCACGUUGUAGAUAAAAAAAAGAUGUUUUAAUAUAGCAACGAUAGAGCAUCCACAAGGAAGAUGUUUUGCCUUUUUUUCUUUAAUUUGUUUUUGUUUAUUUGAUUAUUGGCUGGUUUAGAAUUCAGCUAAGACAUCUAAUAAAAUAUUUUUAUUCUUAUAAAUUUUGUGAAGAACAAUCAGAAAACUAAUUUAAUUAGGGAUUAAUUGAGUAAUUAAUUACCUUUACCUUACAGAGGAUUUUCUUUUCUUUUAUUUUAUUUCUAGUAACAGCUAAUUUAAUAAAACCCCAAUAGCCUGAUUCUUGGAUCACAGAAGCUUGAGACAUGGCACAUGCUACCAGGAAAAAAGCAUGAUUGUGUUGAAAACCUUUUAAGAUUGAACUGUCGCAUUCUAACAAUAAUGUUUGGACCAUUUAAAGAUUGGACCCAACUUCUCUUCAACUUUAUUUUAUAUUUAUAAUAAAUAAAAAGCAUGAUUGUGUUGAAAAGAAAUUGCUAUCCAACUGGUGUGCAGAUUGGAUAGCGAAUCAAGCUAUGUUGAAGUUUUCUACUGCAGUGAAGCUCCCUCUGGUUGCUUGAAGCUAAUGCCUGAUUGUUGCGUUCCUGGGUUUUCAUAAGUGUAUGAAAGUUUAUUAAUUUAUUAUUAGUUUGUUUUUGUAUUUUAAAAGUAUUUUUUAAAAAUUAAUUUUUUAUUUUAAAUUUAUUCUAACUCUUUUGUUUUAUCAUUCUCAAAUUCCAAACAACAACGGUACUGCCAAGAUUGUUAUGCCUGCAAUGAAAAUAUAAUUUGUUUUUGUACUUAAAAUUAUGUUUGAGUACAUUUAAAAUCUGUUUAUUUUAAAAAAUUAUUAAAUUAAUAUUUUUAUAUAUUUUUAUAUAUUAAUAUUAAAAAUAAAAAAAAUAUUUUGAUUAUGAAUAGGAAGCUUACGAAUAAUUAAAAGACUGAUUUCAAAGUUUAGUUUACUGAUAUUUAAAAUUAAGUUACUUAAAAAAUCUGAGUCAAUGAGGACAUUGUUUGGUAAAGUGAUGGACCGUAACAAAAACAUCAUUUUUUAUGUUUUUAUUGGCAAAAUAAAGGUAUAACCAUAUUACAUCAUGUUGCCAAACAAACACAAAUCUUGAAUUUUAUUUUUAUUUGUUUUUUUUGAAAAUUGAAAAGGCAAGUAUACUAUCAUGGACUAAGAUAAUAUUUGAUAUUGAAGUAAUGAUUUUUUUCAAAGUGUUUUUUGUUUGGAAAUUUAUUGAAAUAAUAUUUAUAUUUUAUAUUAGUAUAUCAAAAUGAUACAAAAAUAUUAAAAAAAACAUUAAUUUGAAACCAAACAAAUAAUAAGAAUAUUUUCACCUUGGAUUGUAUCUCUUCAUCUUUAAAAUUGUAUCUAAAAAAAUAACUAAUAAAGUGUAAUUAAUUAAUCUAAUGCUGGAAUUAUUAUUUACCCUGGAAUAUGGAUGACGUAUAAUUCCAAGUGGGCAUGCUGCAUUUCUUAGCCAAUGAAACUAUAAUUUCUUCAUAAUUUUUCAAGUUCCAACAAUAAAUGUAAUUUUCGAACUAUUAAAUAUAUUAAAAUCUUAAAUGAUAACUUGAAAAAUAAAAUCAUUCAUCAAUCAAUUUAAGAUUUCUACACUGUAAUUUGUUAAUAUUAGUUAAAAAAAUAUAAAUUUUAUGUAAAUAAAAAUAAUUUAAUUAACUGGUGUGGUGAAUCUCAUUUCAUAACGAAUUCAUAUAUCGGUCCAAUAAAUUAGGUCCAAUUUAAUUAACUGGUGUGGUGUAUAUAUAUAUAUAUAUAUAUAUAUAUAUAUAAAAAAAAAUAAUCAUCAAUAGUUUUGACAUUAGAAGUCAAUUCACCAACAACUUAAAAAUUCAACCUCUUUAAUAAAAAUACUUUUUAUAUUAAAAAAGUUGAAUUUUCCAUGAAUGAUUGGUGAGAGAAUUUUUAUUGAUUUCAUAUAAUAAUAAUAGUUUUUUUUGUAAAAAUGAUACCGAGAAAAAAUAAUCACAAGUAUACAAGACAAAAUUCAACCUCUCCACAUUGAUGUGUUAGGUUGGAAUCCUUAAACUGUUUUUGCCACAGUUCUUCGACUAGGUUUUAAGUUUAGAUUUUGACUUGUUAUAUAUUUUUUAAAUUGAUUUUUUUUAAAAAAAUCAUUAAUAUCUUUCCUUACGGUAAAUAAAAAAAACAUAAUUCAUUCUUCUAUUUAGAAGAUAUUUGGAAUCAUUUGCUGGAUCUAUUUUCUGUUUUUAUUUUCAGAUUUUAAAAUGACCCCUCGGAAAACAAUUCCAACCAAUUAUUUGCCAUGGAAUUUGGACGCUGUAUAAUUCCAAGUGGGCAUGCUGCAUUUCUUAGCCAGGUGUAGCAAGAAUUGAGGUAGCUUGUUUCUGGCUUUUGCUUCUCGGGGUAUGAUUUGUUGGGCUAGUUUAUAGGCCUUUUGCACUAGGGUUUUUGUCCUUUCUGCUAAUUUAUCUAAAUAUAGGCUUUAGAAUCUUUUUAGAUUGUGUUUGGUAUUGCGGUAGUUGUUGUGGUUAUUGUUUAAAAAAAAUUGUUUUAUAAAAAGUACUUUUAGUUGUGAUUGGUUUGAAAAAAUAGGUGUUUGGUUAAAACUGUGGUUGAAAUUGAGGUUGAAGAAAAAGUAGUUUAAUGUGUUUGGUUAAGAAUGUUUUUGAAAUUGAGGUUAUAAAAUAAUUUAAAAAAAUAUAAAUUAAUAUUGAUGGUUUUUAAUUUAAAUAUUGUGGAUUUAACUAUUGCGGUAACAUUAUGAAAUAAAUCAUACUUUAUAUAUAAAAAAAUUUAUUGUUCUAUUAAACUAUCUACAAUUCCAUUACGUACAAAAUUUAUCUGACAAGAACUACAGUUUCCAUAAUUUUUUAGCGUGUAAUAAAAUUAGAUAAAAUAUUAUCAUGUAUAAAAUUCACUCUAAAUUAGUUUUUUUUAAAAAAAUUAACAAAAAAAAAACUUAACACACUAAAAAAAAAAAAUAUAUUCACGCAGUGCAAGUGAACAGUGCAAGAAAAGUGCACUGUUCACUAUUUUUAACAUGAACAGUGCACUUUUCGUGUACUGUUCAUGAACAGUGCAUCAUUUUGCGUUGUUUAUGUUAAUUGCACUGUUCAUUGAACAGUGCAAUUACGUGAACAGUGCAAAAAAGCAUGUAAUUCUUGCUUUGCAAAUACUGCGUUUCCAACGCAGAAAACAGGUGGGACCCAGUGAACAGUAAACUGUUUUUUUUAGUAACCAAACGGCUACAACUGCGUUUUAAAAAAAACACAGCCGCAGAGCCGAACGGGCUCUUAAUGAAACUAGCGUUCUUGAUUUCUUGGAGGUAGAAAUAACAGGACUAUUAUUAAAUUAAAAUUAAAAUUAAAAAAAAGUCAGCUCAGACUUUUACCAUGUACCAAUAGAGAAAACACGGCGUCUCUCUGUUUUUUUUUUAAGCAUUUUUGCUUUUAAUUUCAUUAUAAUAAUUUAUUUCAAUAAGCUUAUUAUGCUUAUUAUGAAGCUCUCACAGACAAGUCAAGGCCCAGAGUCGUGAAAUUCACUUUGAACCAGCCUGCACGCACUUAAAAUAGUAAUGUUGGGGAGAUGAUUUUUAAAAUUUUGAUCCCUAGAGUUUUUGCAUCUUUUAUUUUUAAUUUUAAUUUUGAUUUAAAAUUUCAUAUUAUUCAUUUUCAUGUUGUUCGUUUUUUGGUUCAAGAUGAAAGAAAGAAAGUAACAAAAAAAACUUUGAAAAAGAUAAAAAAUUAUUGGUCGACAACUUUCCGGCAACAAAAACACGUACAGUAUCUUCGUAUCAAUGGAAAACUGGUGUGCAGAUUGGAUAGCAAAUCAAGCUUCACAGUAGAUGUUGAAGUUUUCUACUGCACUGAAGCUCCCUAUGGUUGUUUGAAGCUAAAGCUUGAUGGCGUUCCUGGGGUUUUGAUGAGUGCACGAUAUUGCAUUCUAAAUGUUCUAUCAUUGGAAUAAAAUGCAAAAAUGUGAAUAAAAAUAAUUGAAAUUAAAGGGUAAGUCAAGGUCCAGAGUCGUGAAAUUCACUUUGAACCAUCCUGGACGCACUUAAAGUAGUAAAGUUUUUUUUUCUUGGAAACAGCCUGAAUGUACUUUUAAGUACUUUAAUCACAACUUUCCACUCAUAUGUCGGAUUGCUGUGAUUCUUGACGCGUUGAAAAGGUUUCUUGAAGGGCCACAAAGUAGUCUCUGACGAGGAUUUCAAAAAAAGAAGAACUAAAGCAUGUACGUCGCUGCCACAGAAGUCCUAAAAUCUAGGUUUUUGAUGAAAACGUGUGGACCAUGGAGACGUGAUGAAAAAGUGGGGCUGCCUCCUUUAGAAAAAAGAGGGCUGCCUAAUUUGAAAAGAAGGGCAUUUGGCGUCAAGGAGACGUGUGGGAAUUGCACCAGAGAAGAAAAAAAAAAAACAAGGAAGGAAAAGGGCUUAAUGUAGUUUAUGGAUUCAGUCAUGUUUCUUCUAUUAAAUGGAUUAAUUCUUUGAUUAUAUUUGGAUCAUUUAUUUAUCUGUAUUGAUUUAAUUUCCUUACUGUAAUAUUGGUCUUGAGUAUGUUGUUGUUGUCGUUGAAUUUUCUUAAUAGGUAUAAUCAUUUGCGUAUUUAGGAGCCGUUUGGGAUGCGGUUCAACCUGUGUUUCUAAAAAAUUUGAAUUUUUUUUUUGCUAAAAUUUAAUAUGAUUUGUACGUUUUAGAUCAUUUUGAUGUGCUAAUGUUAAAAAUAAUUUUUUAAAAAUAAAAAAAACAUCAUUAACAUACAUUUUAAUACAAAAAAUUAUUUAAAAAACACCCGUAACCACACUGUUAAACUCUCUUAAAAGUGAUGAAUGAUAUUUCAAAAGAGGAAAUUCUGGGAACUGAACUUCCAAUUGAAUUAUUUAAAAGUGAUUCCCGACGCUCUACUGUUUGUAGAAUUCCAGUUGUGCUUUCUCCAUUAGUCACUCUGCUUUAUUUUAAUUUGCAUUUAAAAUUAGAUUUUAUUCUCUAUUAAAUCAUUUAAUAUUUUCUUCUAUUCUUUUAAUUUGUCACUAUGUAAUAUUUUCUUCUAUUUUUUUAAUUUGUCUCCGUGGAGACUCGAUACCCCAAAGUCGGGCUACAAUCACCCCAAAAAUCUUUAUAUUUUUAACUGACAAAAAGUCACUGAAAAACUCGGAAAAAGAUGGAAAAUUAUUGGUUGAUAAUUUUUGGCAAAAAAUGAAAAAACUAUCAUCUUUGUGCUAAUGAAAAACUGGCGUGCAGAUUGGAAAGCAAAUCAUACUUUAUAGAUCGAGGGCUAAAAUAUACAUUUGUAGAAGGGAGUUGGGAAGAAAAUAAAUUUUCAUGGGUAUGGAAAAGUUCGAUGACGAGAUGUUUUGAAAGAGAGGGGUAUGACGUUCAUUGUACAUUGACUGAUGUAUCUUUUAAAAUUUUGUUUUUAGGAUUUUUAGAUUAUUUUAAUGUAAUAAUAUUAAAAAUAAAUUAGUGUAAUUAAUUGAUUUUACUCGCACUAUUGAUGUGAACGUGAACAAUAAUUUUUUUUUGUUUUUUUUUUAAAUUAGUUUAAGGUUAAUUAAAUUUGCUUGUACUGUAAUCUCAAUUUUAUUCCUGAUAAUAUUUUACCUCAUUUUGUAGUUCUUAUCUGAUGAAUUUUGUAUGUAAUGGAAUUGUAAAUAGUUUAAUGAAACAAUAAAAUUUUUUUAUAUAAAGCAUGAUUUAUUUCAUGAUGUAAUAGCAAUAGUUAAAUCCACAAUAUUUAAAUUAAAAACCAUCAAUAUUAAUAUAUAUUUUUUAAAAAUUAUUUUAUAACCUCAAUUUCAAAAACACUCUUAACCAAACACAUUAAACUACUUUUUAUUCAACCUCAAUUUCAACCACAGUUUUAACCAAACAACUAUUUUUUUCAAACCAACCUCAACUAAAAAUACUUUUUAUAAAACAAUUUUUUUCAAAGCACAACCACAACAGCUACCGCAAUACUAAACACACUCUUAAUCUAGCCUUGUCAAAACUGAUUUAUCUUUACAGUCACAAUGUGUUUUUUUAAAAUUUUGAUUUUUUUAAAAAUAAUUUUUUAAUAUUUUUAGAUUAUUUUGAUGUGUUGAUAAAAAAUAAAUUAUUUUAAAAAAUUAUUUUAAUAUAUUUUUAAAUAAAAGAUAUAUUUUUAAAAAAUUCACAGCAUGCAGAAAUAUGCUAUUCAUUUUAGAAAAUUUCAUGUGUUUAUAUUUUCCUGGCAGCUUCUUCGAAGUUUCAACAUUGUGGUGGGUCCACACGUUAAUUUAUCAUUAUUGAGGCGACCUUACUAAUAAAUAAUAGUAUGUAACUUCUCUUCCACAUCUCAUCUCAUUAUACAAUUCCCUAUUUUCCUUUCCCCAUCUCAUGAUCAGUGCGAACUUUAUUAUUUUUCUAAGCCAUAUAUUCUUCUCUGAUCUGUGAUUUCUCUUCCUUUUCUUUUGGCUGAUCACUGCUUAAGCAAACCAGCUAGCACUUGAAGAACAUCUUGAAUCCAGGUAAAUUAUUUGUACUUCAUCUUGUUGGUGUUUUUGUUUUUCUGUAUGUAACUAUUGUUCGAAUCCUUAGAGUAAUCCAUGAUAAAUAAAUCGAUCUUUUUCUCAGAUUUUGUAAUCCAUGCCUUGUGGUGUUCAUACUAAAUUAACCCUAAACCUUGAAUUCAUUGUUUUUGUCUUUUCAAAAUUCUUUGCUGUUUUUAACUCCUUAUAUAUGGGAUUUCUUUUCAAAUACUAGAUUUUGUAAUCCAUGCCCUGUGGGACUGCCAUUAAUUAUUUUUAUCCAAUAUUCUUCUGACAUAAUGAUUCAAUGAAGUUGUUUUUUACUGAUUCAUGAAUUAACUUGAUCAGUAUUAAUUACCUUUCAUUAAACUUGUUUACAACAAGUGACAAAUAAUUUAGCAUUAAAACAAAGAAUUAAAUAAUUAACAGCAACAUUUAUAUUUCCUAUUUUUCAUCCGAAUUUCUUUAACAAAUAAAUAAGUCAUAUAUAUAUAUUCUUAUCUAAUCUAUAUAUAUUCUUAUCUAAUCUGUGCUUUCUGUUCUUUUUUAAACCUCAGAUGGAAGGAGUCCCACAAUCUGCGGAGGAUGAUGUCAACUUGACAUCGAAUCAGUUUGAUCUUCAAUCACCAGAAGAUACAUUCAUGCUUGACCCUGAGCUUCUCUUGUACGUCAUUCUUAAGCAUAUUUUAUCAGAAGAUGAUUAAUAGCAAAGAAUUAUGCAUAUGUAUAAAGAAAUCACUAACAAAUGUUGCUAAUUUAGGGACCAACAAUGGACUGAUUAUCAGUUACCAAUGAGCAAUCAAGUGCCUGCGAUGCUACCUACUAGGUACUGAUCAAACUUUGGCAAUAUAUAUGCUGUCGUGUUUUAACACAGUAUUAAUACCUUUUUCUCUCGUACGUCAUUCUUAAGCAUAUUUUAUCAGAAGAUGAUUGCUUGCAAUUUAGUUAUUCUUCAGUUUAUCCUCUAUAUUAUUCCAUGGAAGCAGGCCGGCAGACAACCAAGGCUCCAUAUUAUGCAAUGAUCAAGGUGGACAGAACAAUGUGAUCAACGAUAGUAUUCAACAAACAACUGAUCAGUCUCCACCUUCAUUUCCUCAAACCAUGGUGAGUGCUCAUGCCUACUCCAAUUUGCUACAAUGUCCAUUGAAUUAGCAAGUGUUUGUAUCACCCAUUGGAUCAAAAAGUUUAUGUUUUCGUGGAUCAAUUUAUCUCGAGCAUCUUCAAAAUGUUUAUUGUUAAACAAACAGACAACAAUUGGGAGAUUUAGAUUAUUUUUUUUUGUGUGUGUUUUAUGAUGUGUAACUAAUUAAGGGCUAAAAUAGAGGGAAUUAAUUUUUGCAAUUAACAAAAAUAAUCUUGCAUUUGUUUUGCUCCCCAAAUUAUGAAUAAAUAGGAGUUGAAAGAGGUUUUUGUUCACCCCGUCAAAACAAUCAGCUCUUCUACCUUCCUUCCCCUGCUUUCUUCAACAGUUAUCCUGCAUCUUUCUAUUGAUUAUUCUAGAGUUUUAGGAUCUCGUGUCAUAAAAAGAAUUUGAGUAUGAUAAUUUAGCUUUAAAUUCAAAGGGUUAAAUCAUUAACAACAACAUUUAUAUUUCAUAUUUUUCAUCCGAAUUUCUUUAACAAACAAGAAAGUCAUAUAUAUGUUCUUUUCUGAUCUGUGCUUUCUGUUCUUUUUAAACCUCUGUACGUACUAAUCAUCUUAUACUUGUGGUCAGAUGGAAGGGUUCCUACCAUCUUCUAUGGAGGAUAAUGUCAACUUUACAUCGAAUGAGCUCGAUUUUCAAUCACUAUUGCCCGACCUUGAGCUUCUCUCGUACGUCAUUCUUAAGCAUAUUUUAUCAGAAGAUGAUUGCUUGCACUUUAGUUAUUCUUCAGUUUAUCCUAUUAUUCCCAAAAAACAAUAUAAUGUCGUCACUGUCCAUGGAAGCAGGCCGCCACCGGAGGUUCCAGUCAACCAAAGCUCCAUAUCAUGCAAUGAUCAAGGUGGACAGAACAAUGUGAUCAACGAUAGUAUUCAACAAACAACUCAGUUUCCAACUUCAUUCCCUGAAACAAUGGUGAGUACUCCAAUUUGCUACAAUGUCCAUUGAAUUAGCAAGUGUUUGUAUUAGACAAAAAGUUUUAUGUUUAGUGUAUCGAUCUCGAGCAUCUUCUAAUUGUUUACUGUUAAACAAACAGACAACAAUGGGAAAUGUGAUCAACGAUAGUAUUCAACAAACAACUCCUUUUCCAACUUCAUUUCCUGAAACCAUGGUGAGUACUCAUGCUUACUCUAAUUUGCUACAAUCUCCAUUGAAUUAUACAAAAAGUUUUAUGUUUUAGUGUUUAUUGUUAAACAAACAGACAACAAUGGGAGGUUUAGAUGGAACAUCAUCAUUAUGGAUCAACCAAAAUGAACCAAAUUGGCCUAAAACUCAAUCAAGGUAUUCAUCAUUAUUGCCAAUUUAUCGACGAGGAUCUUUUUUAAUCAUGAGUAUACACUUUUUUAAUCAUGAAAACAAUAAACUUGACCUAUCUUUACGGUGGUGUCAAAUUCUUAGUUUAACUAUUUGAAUAUUUUUCAGGCAUCAGAACUCCUUUAUUCAUCAACCUCAGCCGGGACAUGGCUAUAUGACAGCGAACACAACUACCUCACAACAUGCUGGCUUCAAUCAACCUGGACAAUCUUUUCCUGCUCCCCGGUAUCCAAGUUUUCAUAUUUAGUAUUUUCUGUAUAACAAAAACAUUAGUUUUUCAAUUAGGAAAGUAACAUUAUAGCUUGAACAUGAACCCAGCAAGAUAAUCAUAAGUUUGUAAUGCUUCAUAUUGCUUGGGAAUGAUUUUGGAUUCAGGAUUCAUUUUCUUUCUAAUCAAGGACAAGUCGGUCAAGCUGCUGUAAUUCCUAACAUAGACAAGAGAUACUGAUUGACUUUCUAGCUGUUGUGUUUUAACACAGUAUUAAUACCUUUUUGAUAAUUCGAUACACCAUUGAUUUUUAUUGCUUAAGAGAGACUACCAAAUAUUGAAAGGUUUUAUAAUAUGAUCACUUCAUUUAUAUAUAGGUCACAGAUGGAUAACCUCCAAGUCCGAGGAUUGCAAAAUCAAACUGCUAUGCCAAAUGCCUCUAAUCCUGGCCUUGGCACUUCCCUGCGAAGUCAAAAUAGGGGUUUAAAUACUCAACAAGUAAGAAGUCUAACUGAAUUAUCAUCGUCUUUUUUUCCCCUUUGAUUGUGCUAUAAACUAACUAUCAAUUUUAAUAGCAAAAUAAGGGUAACAACACUGAAGAAGUAGUUUCUCAUCCAUCUGGAUAUGGUGUAACUUGCAUUAAUUUUUAUUCUUUAUUUUGACCUACCUUUUUUUUUAUAUAGGUUGAAAUGGUUAGAUCAAAGGAUCCAUUUUGGAAUUAUAUUGAAGAUAGGACUGAUGGAAGCAUGAAGUGUAAGUUUUGUCCACGUGCAUUUGCCAAUAAAACUUCCAUUUCAAGGAUCAAAUGGCAUUUAUCAGGAGAAGAAGGGCAUGGUGUUGCCAUUUGUCGUGGGGUGCCUAAAGAAGUUCAAGAAGCAGCCUUUCUAGCUAUGUGUGGUGGCAACAAAAGACAGAAAAUCACAGCAAGUUCAGUCAAUGUUAAUGAUUGUGGAAUUUCAACAAUGGAAGGAGGAAUUGGAAGGGUACAAAGAGAAGUUCAGGUUGUAGAACCCGGAGUAGUGGAAGAGAGGAUUUCUUCACAUGCAAUAGCAGGAAACGACGUAGUAAGCAUGACCGGAAUGAGAGCACCAGAACAUGGAGUUUCCGAAGGGGCACUCGAGAGCAGACCGAGGACAGAUCCCGUGGAUCGAUCGUUGGAACAAAGCAAUGCAGUACUUGGCAAUUUGGAAGGGGGUGCUGGAAGGAUACAAGUGGGAGUUCAGGGGGUGCUGGAACAAGGUGCCGGGGAAGAGAGAAUUAAUCGGGUUAUAGUGAGGACAGAACCAGUGGAGGAGGAUGUGGAGAAUAGUCGAAGAUCAGUAGUGCAGGCUGGCGCAGGAGCUAGAUCUUCUGAAAGUCUGAAAUACAACAAGACUAGAGGAGUUCCAUUACCUACUAGCUCUAAAAAGCCAGUGGGUCAAGUAUUCGAAGAGAAUACGAAGGUGAUAUGGUCUUUGUUAAUGGAUGAUAAAGUCUCAAUCAUUAGCAUUUAUGGGAUGGGUGGGAUUGGUAAAACAACAAUACUGCAACAUAUCCAUAAUGAGCUUCUACAAAGACCAGAUAUUUGUGAUUAUGUUUGGUGGGUGACUGUGUCUCAAGAUUUCAGCAUUAAAAAAUUGCAGAAUCGUAUUGCUAAACGUCUUCAUCUAGACCUUUCAAGCGAAGAUGAUGAACUACAUAGAGCUGGCAGAUUGUCAAAAAAACUAAAGAAGAAACAAAAAUGGAUUCUUAUUUUAGAUGAUUUGUGGAACUAUUUUGACCUACACAAAGUGGGAAUUCCUGAAAAGUUGGAAGGAUGCAAGCUGAUUAUGACAACUCGAUCAGAAACAGUUUGUGAAGGGAUGGCUUGCCAGCACAAAAUCAAAGUGAAGCCACUUUCUAAUAGAGAAGCUUGGGCUUUGUUUAUGGAGAAACUUGAACGUGAUGUAGCACUUUCACCAGAAGUGGAAGGAAUUGCGAAAGCUGUUGCAAAGGAAUGUGCUGGUUUACCAUUGGGAAUUAUUACAGUGGCAGGAAGCUUGAGGGGAGUGGAUGACUUACAUGAGUGGAGAAAUACAUUGAACAAAUUGAGAGAAUCAGAAUUUAGGGAAAAGAAGGUAUUCAAGUUAUUGAGGUUUAGUUAUGAUCAAUUAGGUGAUUUAGCACUACAACAAUGUCUCUUGUACUGUGCAUUAUUUCCUGAAGAUGAUAGGAUUGAAAGGGAGGGGUUGAUAGGUUAUUUGAUUGACGAGAGAAUAAUUAAAGGAAUGAGGAGCAGGGGAGCUGCAUUUGACGAGGGCCACUCGAUGCUUAAUAUACUUGAAAAUGUCUGUCUAUUGGAAAGUGCUCAAAUGGAUUAUGAUGAUAGAAGAUAUGUCAAGAUGCAUGACUUGAUUAGGGACAUGGCCAUCCAACUACUGCUAGAGAACUCUCAAGGGAUGGUUAAAGCAGGUGCACAAUUAAAAGAGUUGCCAGAUGCAGAGGAGUGGACAGAGAAUCUGAUGAGAGUUUCACUAAUGCAAAACGAGAUCGAAGAAAUUCCUUCCAGCCAUUCACCAACGUGUCCCUAUCUAUCAACUCUAUUGCUAUGUAAAAAUAAUCUGUUGGGAUUUAUUGCGGAUUCAUUUUUCAAGCAAUUGCAUGGGCUCAAGGUCCUCGAUCUGUCUUGGACAGGUAUUGAAAAUUUGCCAGACUCUGUCUCUGAUUUGGUGAGUCUCUCUGCGUUAUUGCUCAAUGAUUGUGAGAAGUUAAGACAUGUUUCAUCAUUAAAGAAGCUCAGGGCACUGAAGAGGUUGAAUCUCUCUCGUACUGCACUUGAAAAGAUGCCGCAAGGAAUGGAAUGCCUAACCAACCUGAGGUAUCUUAGAAUGAAUGGAUGUGGUGAAAAGGAGUUCCCAGUGGGAUAUUACCAAAACUCUCUCACCUGCAAGUCUUUGUACUAGAAGAGUUAAUGGGGGAAUGUUAUGCUCCGAUAACAGUUAAAGGAAAGGAAGUACGAUCCUUGAGAUAUUUGGAAACUUUGGAAUGCCAUUUCGAAGGUUUUUCUGACUUCGUGGAGUAUCUCAGAUCUCGGGAUGGGAUCCUAUCAUUAAGCACAUACAAAGUUUUAGUAGGAGAGGUGGGUAGGUAUUUAGAGCAAUGGAUUGAAGAUUAUCCAAGUAAAACAGUUGGGUUGGGUAAUUUGAGUAUCAACGGAAAUAGAGAUUUUCAGGUCAAGUUCUUAAAUGGCAUUCAAGGACUGAUUUGUCAAUGCAUCGAUGCAAGAAGUUUAUGUGAUGUUUUGUCAUUGGAGAAUGCAACUGAACUGGAGCGCAUCAGCAUUCGGGAUUGCAAUAACAUGGAGAGCUUGGUUUCAUCUUCUUGGUUCUGCUCUGCUCCACCACGUAACGGUACGUUUUCUGGUCUUAAAGAGUUUUUUUGUUAUAAUUGUGGAAGUAUGAAGAAGCUGUUCCCGCUUGUGUUGCUGCCAAACCUCGUAAACCUGGAAAGGAUUGAAGUGAGUUUCUGUGAGAAAAUGGAGGAGAUAAUAGGAACAACAGAUGAAGAAAGCAGCACCUCCAAUUCCAUCACGGAAGUCAUUCUCCCAAAGUUAAGAAGUCUGGCAUUGUAUGUGUUACCAGAACUGAAAAGCAUUUGUAGUGCAAAACUGAUUUGCAAUUCUCUUGAAGAUAUUAAGUUAAUGUAUUGUGAGAAGCUGAAGAGGAUGCCAAUUUGUCUUCCGUUGCUUGAAAAUGGCCAGCCAUCUCCUCCCCCUUCUCUUAGAACAGUCUAUUCAUGGCCAAAAGAAUGGUGGGAGACAGUAGUGGAGUGCGAGCAUCCUAAUGCAAAGGAUGUCCUUCGUCCCUUUGUAAAGUAAUAUAAUAUAGUGUGCUUACAAUUACAUAAAUAACAUUGUUCAUUUUUUUUAUUUCAUUAGUCAUAUUUUUGUUAACUCGAUAGAUAAAUAAUUAUAAUUUGAAGUUUGAUUAAUAUUAUAUUUUUAUCC
This 63730-nucleotide long non-coding RNA is filed under the name Populus trichocarpa (black cottonwood). RNAcentral describes it as "long non-coding RNA (PTRI_LNC004359)". The record is from RNAcentral. Lineage: Eukaryota; Viridiplantae; Streptophyta; Magnoliopsida; Malpighiales; Salicaceae.